UUUUUUUUUGUUUGCUUUAUUACAUUUUUCCUUACUGACAAAACAUGCAUUGGGAGGACACGGUUAACGAAAGAUUUAUUUCCCGGCUAAAAUUUAAUAAUAAUUGAUGGAAAUUUGUUGGAUGUGAUGAUUAUAAAAUUCAGCAUAAUCAAUUUCAUCAUCUAAAGAGUUGAGAAGAUGGAAGAAGUAAAAUCAGUGUGUCAUUUGAUAGUCUUAACUUUAAAUUAAAACUUCUUCUAAACUAAACACUUCCCUUCCCCACGUAAUUUAAUUCAAGAUGAUAGGGAGUGAAAGAGAUUAAGGUAUGUAACUUAUGUUUAAAAACUAAUUCCGUUAUUUAUAAAAAAAAACUAUUUCAAAUAAUUGCAUAACAUGGCUUGAUAGACAUAAUUGCUCUUAAUUACUCAAUUUCAGUGGCCAUGCUCUCAACUUGCAGUGCUAUACUAGACCUUACUUUAAUGUAAUAAUCAGAAGUAGCCUGAAAUGUUUCACUGAUGUUUCAGGGUGAAUAUCUUACUAUAGCAAACAUAGGUGAUUGUAGGGCUGUCUUGGCAACUACUUCAGAUGAUGGCAUAUUAACUCCACAUCAGCUUACCACUGACUUCAAGCCAAAUUUACCUCGUAAGAAAUGAUUUAAUUUGUUGAAGAAAUAUUAGUGUAUUAGGGGUGAGCAGAUGAAUGAAAUUGAUUUUGAAGUACAUGUUUAUAGGUUUUUAUUUUAAAAACAAAUUAAUAGUAAAAUUUAGUAUAAAUUUUUUUAUCCAAACCAAAAGCAAUCUAAAAUUACAUGAACUCAAAAUCAAUUCCCUAACACGACACCAAAUAUGUAACAUGAAUUGAAACACUCAAUCAGUCUUUUUUUUGUUGUUGUUGAUUUCAGAGGAGGCAGAACGCAUAACACAAUCCAGAGGGAGGGUAUUUUGUAUGGAAGAUGAACCAGGAGUGUACAGGGUCUGGAUGCCAAAUGGUAAAACACCAGGACUAGCAAUAUCUAGAGCUUUUGGAGACCACUGCAUGAAGGACUUUGGACUAAUCUCCGUGCCUGAUGUCACACACAGAAAAAUUACCACCAGGGAUCAAUUUGUCAUCUUGGCAACAGAUGGGGUAUGCGUCUCUUAUGUUUAAUGCAAUAACUCGUUGUUUAAGGGACAGGUUUUAAUUUAACCGAAGUUAAAAGGAAACGUAUUAAGAAACGGAACAAAAUUGGUUCUAGUACCUAAUAGUCAUCAUGCUUGAUUGGUGUAGAACCAGGAAGUGUUCAAGUAAUUGCUUUUUUCGUUAUCUCCCAGGUAUGGGAUGUUAUAUCCAACCAGGAAGCAGUGAAGAUUGUUUCAGCAACGUCACAUAAAGAAAAAGCUGCUCAAAGGCUUGUGAAAUGUGCCAUACAUGAAUGGAAACGGAAAAAAAGUGGCAUUGCGAUGGAUGAUAUGUCAGCUAUUUGCCUCUUCUUUCACUCUUCCCCCUCUCAUCAACUCCCCCCAGCCAUCAAAAUUGUUGAUUAAGAAUGUUGGGUGGUUAAACAGUUCAUUACAGCUUCCUUGUAAGUUGUAACACAGAAAUACAUAUAGACUUGUAUAUAAACUUAUCAAUUAAAAUGACAUUUGUGGUUAAGUGUAUAAGACUGUAAAAUCUAUCUUCGUUACCAUAGAGGCACAAGCAUUUUGUGUGUAUAGAGAACUUUUUUUGACUAACUGGUCAUGCUGAAAGUGGAGCAUCAGAAAACAUUUGCAGGGGAGCAUCAUCAAUCAAUUUAAACAAAACUAUCCUCAAACUAAACUAAGUCUCAGAGUUCUUCAUCUUAGACUACUGCUUAUAGUCUGUUGCAGUCUUCGUAGGCUAUACCUUUAGUAAUUCUGAGAUGAUGUUUACAAAGAGAAAAUCACAUGCACCACUCAUGUCUGCUACAAUCCUUAGUUGUGAACUUGUGGUUGAAGUGUCCUUUGCUAUUAUGAAUACCACAUCGAAGGGUUUACAAAGCUGAAUAGUAGGAACUCACUUAUAAAUAAACUAGAGAAGUCCUUGUACAAAAACGUGUACUUAAUAAUAUUAAUUGGGUAAAGUUUAUAAAUUACAACAAUAAUUAGGUUGACAUUAUUCAUGUUAUAUUGUAUGAGAAUAUGAAAUUACAACUAAAUUUAAAAUUUAAAAUAUCUAUUUAAAUUAAAAAUAUUCACGUAACAAAUUUUUUUACUCUUUAAAGAUCUAUAAUAUGCAAGUAAAUCCAAAAUAAUAAAGAUCUCUCUCUCUCUCUCUCUCUAUAUAUAUAUACAUAUCUUUUUAACAGGCGAGUAAUAAGAGAAAUGCCCAAAAAAUAAAUAAACUCAACUGCAGGAGCACUGCAGCAGAAUAUAACUUUCUUUUUUCCUUCAUUUUUUCAUUCUUUUCUCUUUGUUUUUUUUCCUUCUUUUUUGCUAAAUAGAGUGUAAAUGAAUAUGAAUUGUACAAAUAUCAUUAUAAUACAGACAACAUUUAUUUGUUGGUUGGUUGCUCCAACCAUUAAGCAAUCAGUGCAAGAGAAUAUCUCUCCAUCUUCUUUCUUCAAUUCAUUGAUUCAUUCCGAUGGUGAAUACAUUGCCCUCUCUCGAUCUCACCCACCACUCCGAUUUCGACGCAUUAGCUUCAUCUCCAUCUGCGGCUACGGUUCCCUCCUCUCCGGUAACUAUUUACUACUACUAUCAUAUUCAUAUCAAUCCCUAGCCUUAACUUAACUGUCCAUGUGAAUCAAUGUCCUUUAAAUAUUUGACACAGAGACAAGUGCCAGAAUCACUUUCCCCCGUCUCUUCAACUCCGUCGGACGCAUCUUUUCACUCACCGUGUUGCCAAUAUCAAAACUCAGGUCUUUUUUUCUUUACUUUUCAAUUUUCAUGUGAUAAUUGGUUGUUGAAUGUCUUCGUUUAAUGGAUUUGUUUGCUCCCAGGAAAUUGCCGGACUUUCUGUUGAACCAUGUGAUGGUGAAAUCGUUGUUGUAGCCGUUUUUGAGAUAAAGAAAACAUUUUUUAAGAGUCACCUUCGUCCUUGGCUUAAGCCUUAAAAGGAGAGGUGAGCAAAAUACGCAUUUAUCUCUGGGAAUCAAUUUGACUUUAUUUUCUUUCAACGGAUUCAGAUUCCAGCAUUUAUUGAUAGGGAGCGCGAAUAUCGUUUUUUAGCUGUGAGUAGUUGUUAUUUAGUAUUGCUUAUGCUUUCGUUCCCGCCCGUGAUAAUGCAAUAUGAUUAAUAUAUCCUAUUUGACACCUGCUUCAAGAGUUCCAAAUAAAUCUACAAUAUAAAUUAACUUGGACUAUAAUUUGAUAUUAUUAUUUUUUGUCUCUAAUAGGUUGUCCCUGAAUCACUAGAUGGGAAGCCCUUUACCAAUCCAGCAGUAUGUUAUUCAAAUGUUACAUUUUUAACGAUUGACAUUUUUUAUUUUAGUAACUUUUACUUUGCUAGAUUUAUUUGUAACGUAUGUAUGGUGUUAAUUGUUAAACGCAGGUUCUCUGUGCUUCUUACACUGAUGAGGAAUUCUUUAAAUUUAGAUGCAACAGCAUCCAAGCUUAUAUUCUGUUAGAAAAUAUAGUAGAUUAUGCAAAAACACUGAACUGCCGUACGCUUAGGGUUUUAAGAGGAAGAAAUGAAAAGAAUCUCUUCUUUUUUUAAUUUUACUUGGUAACUCAUACAACACACAGUACUUUUUUUUUUUUUUUGUGUUAAAAAUACGACAUACUACUUCUUUUGCAACUAAUUUGUAACAUUUCCUAUGUUACUCGUAUUGCUUCCAAUAUAGUUAUCCGAUCAGUUUAUUAUUUAGUGAUAAAAAGAGUGCUAACAAUAUAUUUUUUUAACACCCUAGAUAAAAAAAUAUAUUCUCCGACACCGCCUUAAAGCAACAUAUGUGAUAUUUUGAUCAACGUGCCCCCCUUUCUAUUUAACUGUGUGUUCUCCUUCUAAUUGUCUUAAAAGUUAAAAACUGAUUUUGGUACUUGUUAACUGAAAAUUUUGUUUUAAUGUAAAUGUAUAGUUAAAGGGUUAUAAGGUUGACUUUGUGUGGAGCAAGAAGGGAGGGAAUGAGAGAUUAUAAGUUCGAAUCAUUUUGUUAAUAAAAAUUAACAACUAAUAUUGAUCGAUAAAAAAAAUAUAAUUUCAAUUAAUUUAAACACACAUCUUAAUCAAUUAAAAUUAAACUAACUAGAAAAAGUUAUAAGGGCAUGUCAAUUAUAUCUUCCACAUGAGAAUGUAAAUUUGGAAUUACCAAAGUGAGGCCAACAUAAUUACCUCCUACUAGCAUUGGUUCCUUGUUAAGGUUUCUUAAUAUUUUAUUAUUACUUUUAGCCUAAGAAGCCAACAUUUUUUAUUUUCUUUGGUGAGAUAAGAAGCCAACAUUGUAUUGAGUUUGCAUCACAUCAAACUAGAUUAAUUGAGAUGUUACAGGGUGAAACUUACUCUGCCUCGUGUUAGCGUGAGUUUUUAUCUUUUCCCCUCCUAUAUUUUACAUACCAUAUGUCCGUGACCUUUUUAGAACAGAGGGCCGAGAAAAAUAUUUUCAACAAUUCGGGGAGUAUAAGAUCCAUAAGAUUUGGCGGGAUGGUGUUUUACCAUGCCCUGUUUAUCUUGGUCACUGGUAAGUAGCCUGUUCUAUUUAUUAAUAACACUAAAGUCAUUACUUAUGAGGCCAUAUGUUUUAUGUAUUUAUUUAUAGAUUCGAAAUACUUAAAUGGAAGUGUUAUAUUAGCCUCUUGUGUUUUAACGUAUCAGUAAAUAGCUAAACUAUUACUACUAUAGAUCUUUUAAUUUAUAGAUUUCCACACAAAUGUAUAUUUUUUUCUUUCUGGGGCACAGGGUUAGAUCAUUGUCUAGCAUGAUUAUUAUCCUUUAUGUAUCAAACCAUAUGCUUGUCACAAUACUUUAUCAUUGAUAGUGCAAAAUGGCGUUUAACACAAAUGCUGUUAUAUUUAUGAUAUACUAAUUAUUUUCUUCUAAAUGGCGUUUAACACAAAUGCAAUUUGACAUGUAUUUAUAAAAAUGACGGAUGGUAUUGAAUUCUUGCAGUGUCCUGGCUGCAAAAAGCCUCGGUGAUGAAGUCCACAAUAACUUUUUGGAUCAUACUUUCCUUGCUGACCGUAAAACGACCAUACAUCAGUACUUUGAAAAAGUGAGUACAUGCAUCUUGGAAGAAGAGCCACCUGAGUCUUUGAAAACCCGUUAUGGUGGUUGAUGUCAUGAGAUGAGAGAGUCAAUAUAGUUCUCAAUUCGCCAUUUCUGAAUUUGACUGUUCCAAUUAUUUCUUAUUUUAGCACAUCUGGAUCGAAGAGUCACAGCGGCGAACGUUGAAUGGCGGCGACAAGUAGUAGUUGUUACAAAACCAACAAAACAGAUUUCUGUUUUCUAGGAUGAAAAUGUAUUAGUGCAUGUUUGUUUUUCUGUUAAAACCUUGGCUGCACGAAUUCCCAUACAUUUAAACGGUCGUUUGCACAUUACGAGACUCCAAAAGCAGAAAUAAUUCCUUUGUUACUUUUGAAAAAUCGCAAGUUACCUUAAUAGGCCAGCAAAUGUUUACUGUAGAAUAAUAUUUAUAUACUGUGAAUAAAAACUGGCAACAGCGCCCUUUCAACAAAUAUUUAUAGAAAAAUGUUAGCAUUAUUUUUCUUCUACCUCCUAUUAUACCUCUUGUAAUAUAUUAAAUCAUUUGACAUGAAAAGAAACAAAAGACAGAUAAAAAAAAAGAGUCUACUUUAUAGUUAUGGUAAAAGAAAGUGUAAUAAAAACUGUGGAAAAAGUAGAUUUUUAUAUAUAAAAAUUAUACAACAAACAUAUGAAGGUAGAUAAAUAUAAAUUAAAUUAUUAAUUUUUAUAUUCAAUAUUUUCUAUAUAUUAAUGUAAUUACCAUAAUAUAACCGAAUUCAGUAAAAAAAAAACCCAUAAUAUAACCAAAAUACAAUUUGUACAAAAAUAAAUCAUAUAACUUAACAUUUAACACUUCAACAUUUUCCAGACUAACUAAUUAAUCUAAUAAUUAAAAUUCACUAAUACUAACAAAAACUAAAAUACAAUUACAUGAUUUUUAUUUUGAUUUUUUUAAAAGACUCAUUUAUAGCAUCAUAAAUAUUUAAAGAAUCAAAUUAUUGUCGAAUAAAUUUUUAGAAUAGUCCAAUAAUUUGAGUACAUUUUUUGUACUAUAGUCAUUAAAAUAUAUACUUUUAGUUUUAAUUAUAAAAUUAUAAUAACCCUUCUAUUUAAUAUUAUUAUUAAAAAAACUGAAUAAUCAAUGACAUAAUAACAGAAUUCAAAUCUGCACAUGUAGGAAUUCUAGUUCUAUGAAAACGUUCCGUUGCAAGUCCCACAUCGGACAUUUCAUAAGCUAAAGAGUGGGGAGCUGUCUAUAAAACAAACCAAAGAAGACAAAGACUACUGAAAAAUUGUUCCGGUGCCCCAUUGGAGGAAAAUUAGAUCUCAGGCAAAUUAUUAGAAAUAUCAACUGCUGAAAGUUGAAGUGAGAUUUUACGGAUUCGGAUGUUACGGGCUAGCAACACUUUCUCUUCUGCAAGAUAUUAUAAAUUAAUUCAAAGGGCGUCCCACACUCCCACUGAUAGAGGGACACUGUGGAAGGUGCUAUGAAGAACAAACUCAGCAGCAGAGAACCUUACUCAAUGAAAGGCACUGAAAUUAAAUAUGUAUGAUUGUCUACUAGUAUUUAUUUGGAAUUAUAUUGGUGUUAAAGUUUUUAACAAACAAAAUAACGUUUUCAAGUCCCACAUCAGAGGAUUUGUAAACUGAAGAGUGGGGAGCUCACUAUAAAUAAACCACAGCAGGUAUGUUGAAACCAACCUGUCCUGUCAGGGGGUGAAAGGCGAUUCGUUAAUGAUCGUUUAGAGACGGCGGGUCGCGCCAACACCUAUUAUUUCGAACACACAGUACACGACGGGUGAGUCCUGCCCUACUUCGGUUAGGAUUUGCCCGUCAAUUUUUGGAAGCCUCUCCUCUUAGGAGCGGCUCUAUACCAGUUCUAAAAAAUUUGAAAACUAUUUUUUCUUUUUGGGUGUCGGUGUAUUUUUUGUGAAGAUCCCGUGCCAAUUUGAGCAUAGUUUAAUUCAUAUGGCGAAGAUAAGUUAGACAAUAAUAAUGGACCAUAUUGUUAAUCAUUUUGUGGUGAUUUAUUUGAUGUUUAUUUUUGUAUUUUUGUACUGGUAUUCUAUUUCACAUUAUAUCUUUCUCUAGUUGUCUGAUUAAUAGUUGGAUCAUCUUCCUAUAUGUGGGCAUGUAAUGAUCAUUUAUCAUCGUUCUUGAAAGUCUGAGCUUGCUAUAAAGCUGUCUAGGUGUUUCAUAUAAUUUGACAUGUUCCUCAAUGGAGCUUGAACUAAAGUCAUCUGACGAAGGAGUGGAGACAAUGUGCAUGAUUUUACCUGGGGGAUAAAAACGAUAGCUAUCUACUUUGUCAGAUGCCGUGAUUGAAUUGCUGGUGCCUUGUGCAGCAUCAAUAAGCUGAUUCUCUUCCUCAGUUAUCUCUUUUGCUGCAGCUGCCUCUUCUACCUGCGCCCGAAUGUUCAGGAUAUUGUUCUGUUUUUCAAGUUCCUUCUCCAGCUCAUACCACAAUUCACCUUCAGUGAUGUCAUUUACAACAGAAGAGGUAAUGUGCUCGUUAGCAUCAAUCAGUUGCUCCUCUUCAUCUAUGGCAUCAAGUCCAGAUCUUCCACUUGAGUAGUUUGGUUCAUCCUUAUUCAGCACAGGCACACUUUCAGUCAAAAGAGAUUUACUUAUAUUUUUGGGUUCCAGAGAAGAUUCGGCCAAGUUAUUUAAUUUAGAUUUUGGCAAUGGUCCAAUAUUCUGACGGUGUGAAGCCAUAGUUUUGACAACAGCUUCGACAACACUUUGUGCAUGCUUCAUCACAACCUGCGAGUAAUAACAGGAUUUCUUUAAGAUAAUAUAUGCAUUAUAUAUGAUAGCGAAAGGCCCAUGCAUAAAGGAGAUAUACAUCAUAAAAACAGCUUGAGCACUAGGAUUGCUGCAAGUGCCGUGCAUCAGCUAUCCCUUAUAUAUAGUUGGACAACUGCUCUGUAACUGCAAACUAUGGCCAGUAAUCUCCCUUACAUCCCUGAAGCGCACUUCGUACUUUGAAAGUCAAAUAGAGACAAAGAAGCUUGAAAAUUACCUGGGUGCCACUGGUCACAGGCCGUAGAAUAGCACCUACACCAGCUACCUUGUCUUUUGCACUAGAUAUGAAUUGUAAGUGAGAUCCAAGUGCAGUUGCUGAGUUGUGGACGGCUUUCAGAACCUUUGUAUGCUCGGCCUGAUCCCAUAAAUCACUCAUCCAAGAUGACGCAGCAACCUAACAAAUAACAUUAGAAACAAACUAAUUAACAAUGAUGAUAUUUGCCAAAAUCAUCUGGGAGAACUAACUAAUCACCUCAGAUCGGAGAUCAUCAACAGAGGAAGCUGAUAAUGUGGGUACCAAGUCGUAACCAUUUAUAAUGGUAGUGAUGAAGUGCUUCCCUGAUUCACCUAACUCCCAUGUCAUACAAGCAGCUGCAAAAAUGACAACAAUGAAAUGUCUUAGCAGUAAUGAUUACAACAUAGGCAAGACUCCAAUAUUAGAGAAAUUUCAACGCUGUAAAGAAAAUUCCAUAAGCAAAAUGUAUAAUGAUAAAAUAGGUAUUCUUACUUCACUCAUAUCUUCUUCAAGUUUAUUCGAAGAAAGAAAAUAGAUAUUCAACUUUAAUUUUGCAACUAUUAUGUCAAAUUAAUUAGGCAUUCCUACUCGUAACAAAAUAAUUAAUUCUCACAUAAAUUACAAUACAUAUCACACUAAAUAGAUAUAUAAAUCUCAUGCUUGUAUGUCAAAACAAUAGUGAUUGACUGAGAAAUUUGAAAUCUCAUAUCACAGCCCAAACUGAUUAAUGAUUAUAACAAUAGCUCCAGCUCAUUUCAAACACCAACAUAUUUGACCAUUAUCAAAUGAAAGGUAAUUCAAUGUAAUUUGAACAACUAGUAAUGUUCAUUACUCAAUUCAAUAAUAACUUCAGUUGUGAAGUUAGUAUAAUUACAUGCCUGGGGCAAAUGUGACACAGGUGCUUGAAGAUAACUCUUUUUGUUCUCUAAGAAUAUAUGUUAAUAGUGCUGCAGUACCACCACCAAGUGAGUGUCCAACAAUCUGUGGUAAGAUGAAAAGGCAAGAAAAUGAUGAGUUGUGUGAUUAAAUAAAAUACAUAUAAUAUCGUUUUAAAAGAAAAUAUUCAAAAACGAAUAUGGCAUUCUAGUGAAAGGAUAGAAAAAGUAAGAAAUAAAGAAAUGAAAGGAAAAACUGAAGAAUUCAGAAUACAGGGCUGUAGCAUCAUAAUAUUCUUCUAAGAAUAAUAUAGAAUUAUACCUUGACUUCUGAGUCUGGACAUUUAUUAAGGGCUUUAAGUAGUGUAGGAGUGCAGAGUUUUGCAAUCCAACGAGCUGCAGCAACCAUACCACAGUGUGCAUAUCCUAAAACCAAGUUGCUUAUUCCUCCAUCAUUUAAAAUGGAAUGGUGAAAGGGAACCACAGUACCAGUUGCAGCUGUCAGUGUGUCUUUUAUGCUAUGGGUUCCCCGGAUCAAUAGAAGGAAACAUUUUGACUGCGUAUCAUGUAUAAUUGUGAAAGCGGGCUUCAGAAGCUGCAAGAAUUCAUGACAUCAAAUCGGUUCAGUUACAAGUGAGCAAUAAAAUGAUGGCACGAUGCGAACAGUUUAGCAAUUGAAACAUGAAAGUAAGAUAGAAAUCAGAAACAAAGGGAAAGAAAUAAAAAGAAGCAAUGCAUAUUUAAUUUCAGAAGUAAAACAUACGAAAACACUCAAACAUGUUUAAGGCACAUAACACCAAAGUCCAAGCCUCAUGAAUCAAGAUUCCAGCAACAUCAAAAAAUUAAUAGGGGGCAUUUAGUUAGUUUAUGAAGAGCAUACAUACUGAUUAUUCAUCUUUAUCUAAUCAAGUUUCAGGGGAAAGUAGGAACAUCAGACAUGGAUUAUUUAUCAUCUACAUUUCUGAAAACUAAUUUCUAGAACAGUCACCUAUUGAUAAAAACAUGUCCCAGGAAAUUUAUUUCCGAAGGAGGGAAAAACAUAUCAAAAGAGUGGGAGAGUGCGUUUAGUGACUAGGGGAAGUGCAUUUUGCAAUUGCCAUCACGGGUCCAACAAGCCAUAUUCAGCUAACAAUAAACAUACAAACGAGAGACAAAAUUAGAAAAGAAGGCAGCUAACCCCAGCUUCGGGGUUGUGAAGAAGAACAUGGUCUAGAGAGAAUCCGGCAGAAUCUAAAAACUCGGGAAACGGUUUCUUGGAGAAAAGCAUGCACAAAGUCAACAACCUCAAAAGCUCUUGUAACUCAUCUACAACUCCAGGGCCUUUCAGCUCCACACAACUGCUUCCACCAUACACACUCGCAACUGCCAAAUCACCCUGCAAGCGUCCUGUCCAUUUUCAAAGCCUAAUAUUGAAAUCGGAAUCGACGAUAAGAAAUUAGGAAAUUGACAUCAACCUGUUUGCGCAUCAAGUAAUUGAUGCCGAAGGCCAAGUCGGCGAUUGGCCAUUUCCCAAUAGUCUCCGAGUAAGUGAACCUCAACGUCUCCGAUAACGUCGCAAUCGAUUCUAACAUAUUCGCCGGCGCCUGAGCUGGCUUCAACCUCCACGUCGUCCGCGACCUCGACCACUCCUUUUCGGCCUUCCUCCUCCGCCGGAAUACGAGGUACAGCAUCACCGCCGCUCCGGCUGCCGUCGCCACUGCCCCGGCAGUCAUGGAAUCGGCGGAGAAGAACAAUGUGGUUUGGGAAAAUGGAAGAAAAAAGGAAACAUAAAAAUUGGAGUUUGGAAUCUGGUUGGAGUGUCUGAAACAGAAACGUGAGAGGAACCGCUGAGAAAGUGCCUUUCCCGGAACAAGAAGCUUGCUUAGUUGCAUUAUGACCACAAUGCCCUUGCUUCUUUCGAUCAUCGGAAAUCAUCCUGGUACUGGCGAGGUGGUGCUAACUAGUAACAAUAGCUUAUGGAGUCAUAUUGUUAAAUUACUCCUCAAUUCAUCUUUAAAUUAUUCGAAAUUUUUAAUUAAAAAUUAAUUAAAGUCUUAAAUUAAACAAAAAAAAUCUCUGAAGUUUAUAGCAGUUUUAAAAAUCUUUAAAACUUAAUUAAAAGUUACAUUACUCAUUUGUUCUCCUUAUAGUUUUAUGUUUCUUAUUUACUUUUCUAGUUAUUAUAAUUUAAAAGUGAUAUUUAUUUUUUUAGUCUCUAUAAUUUACAUUUUAAUUCUCUUCUAAUCUCCUGUAAUUUUGAAAGUGGUCUAUUCAUGAUUCUUACUUUUUUUAGUCCCUAUCAUUUUCAAAUUAUAGGGACUAAAACAUAAUUAAAAUGUUAACUAUAGAUUCUAAAAAGAAUAUUUUUAAACUACAUGAUAAAAGAGAAUUAAAAUAUAAAUGAUAAAUACUAAAAAUAUCACUUUUAAACUAUAGGGACUAAAAAGAUAAAAAUCAUGAAACUGAGUAAUUUAACCAUUAAAAAAUUUAGCUAAUCAAUUAAAGAUCUCAUGAUAUUUUACUUUUAAGGUUGAAUGUGUAUUCUCUUAUAUCUUAAUAUAUAGUUGAUAUUUAUAUGAAUUUUUAUUUGAUAUUUCUUUUGAAUUCGAUUAUAUGCAAUAAAUAAAAACCUUAGAGUUUUUGUCUCAAAUAUAAGCAAAUCUCACUUUUCUAUUUCUUAUUUAAUGAGACUCUCUUUAAAAUAUCUUUCAUUUAAUAAUACUAAUAAUAUUUUUAUGUUUGAUAUUAAGUUCCAACAAAAGAUGGUUUAGGAAAUGUUUUUUUUUAUUAAAAAUAACACAAUUUAACGAAGUUAACUAAUUUUUUUAAUAAAUAUGAAGUAUGUCUUUUUUUACUUAUAAUCGAGACCAAAGCAAGUACAUGUCAUUGUUGGAGACAACUACAAAUUCUAGAAAAAUAAUACACAACAAAAUCAUAUUUUUGAUUGUGUAAUUCUUUUUUUAAAUAAAAAAAAGUAUACAAGUGUGAUUCAUUUCUAUAUAAUAAAACAGAAUCAUAAUUUUAUUGUGUAUGUUUUUUUUUUUACCUCCCUUGCACAAUAAUCACGGUUUUAUAUACAAUAAAAUUAUGUUUUUGCUGUACAAUCAUCUAAUCCUUAGGAAAAAGUAUUUAUUGUAAAAAAAUGUCUAAUUUAAAAAUUAUAUAAUUUAUUUCACGAAUUUUUCCAUCAUUUUUUUCUUUUAAUAAAAAAUCCCAAUAUAUAUAUAAUUUUUAAUUUGCACCGUGACAAUUAAAUUUAUCACAUGUUCUUUAUUCUUUCAAUUUUUCAUUGUUACUCUUUUAUAAAAGAUUAAUUUAUCAAAAUUAUAUAUAUAUAAAUAAUGAAUUUAAAAAUAUAUAUUCAACAUUUUUACACAAUCCAUUUUUUAACACCCGUCCUAAGCACUUGCUACGCUGCUAAUCUUGGUACGGGUGAAAAAAUGCAAGGAAUAGCAUAGCAGCUUCAUUUUGAAUUCAGAAUAUUGUAUUGAGUCAUGUUUACUCAAAAAAUGGAGUACUUUUUUUUUUCUGUCAUGCCAAAGCCAAAAUAAAUACAUUCAAAGUGUGAAGGCCUAGAUGCUAAACUUUUCCUUUCUUUCUGUUGUAUUCUAUUUGUCCACUUUUUCUCUUUUCCAAAGGUGUUGAAAGCAAUAUGCUAUUGUUGUCAUUGGACUAAAUGCGAUAUUAUUAAUAGGCCAUGCCUCCUCCAGCAAAAUGAGACUCACCUCACAAGCUUGGGUGGUAAAAAUUUCCUUGGGAGCCUCAUGAACCGUGACACGUACAUAGCAAAUAACUAAUAGGCUUGCAUAGACUUGGAUUUCCACCCUGUCCCACAAUUCUGCAAUUUUUUUGUUUUGGAUUUUAAAUUCCAGUACAUUGUUGCCCUGCAUAAUGUGUCAUGAAAGCUUCAAAUUAACAUGUAAUAAUAAAUUUUGUACUACCACCUUACCCUACUCGAAUUUGUCCCCAUGCAAAACAAAGGCAAUAUUUGAUGCAGUUGCUAAACUCAAAAACAAAAGUUCAGUUACCAAUAUGUCUGCCCAGGAAUAGUACAAUGAAUUAUUUGAUUCAAACCUCCUUAUACGACUUCAUAUGAUGGGAACAUUUAAUAUUCUGCUUCACUACUAACGACUGGUGAUGGGGAAACCCUCUAGUCCCUCCUAUAUGGGAAAUUGGAAAAGGUAUUAAGCUGUUUGAAGAUUGAGGGCCAAAACCGAUUUGAAACAGGACAAAUUAACUUUCCCCUUAAAGGCACUGCACCAAUGUUUGUUUCAUUUUCACCUAAGGCUCAACUAAUACAUGAUCACGAAGAAGACAUUUUUGUUGCUCUUACAAAGCAAAAAUACAACAACUUAUACACUCUCUUUAACACACCCUUCAUUAAAUUAGGUAAAAAUUCAGUGUCUUUAAGUUUAACUAUUCAUUUAACAGAUGUGUUCAUAUUUAGUAUUUUGACUGUGCCUUGAACAUGAUUAACUUUAAAAAAAAAUACUUGUGGGGAGGAAAAAAAUUAAUGUGAACUUCAUUUCUCAUUUAAUAAAUUUCUUUUCUUAAUUGUUAAAACAAGCAUUGCAACAUGUUAAUAUGUGCUUUCACGAUUAAUUUAAUAGACCAACAAGAAAUAAUCAAAGCUGAAGUUCAAAUGUAUAUAUUUAGAAUAGUUUAUUUCAAAUAAAUAAUUAUGUUGAAACAUUUGAAAAGAUAAUAAAAAAAUAAGAAACCAUUCCCUUAUAAUUUAUAAAUAACUUCAACCAAACCAUUAUAGAUAGUGAACACCAAACUUCAGCUGUAAUUUCCAAGGAGAAAAGGCUAUCAGAUGCAUUGUACACGGCACCCAUAAUGAAUUAGAAGAAGAUUAUGAAAAAAUGAUACGUUCUUUUGAACAAAGGGACACAGGUAGGGACCUAUUGGAUGAUUUGAUUAAUUUUUUAACCUACUCAGAGCACCUUUUUAUGCUAGCUUCAACCGGGCAUUAUAUAAUUUAUAUGAGUGGGUCACACUACUUGAACGCUCCCAUCCCAUCUUCACGGGUAAUUUCUCGUUGAAUUUAAAGUCAUAGUACCAAAAUAAUAUUGCAAUCUACCUACCCCAACAACAGUAGCGUAACCUUCAAACCUCUCCCAAAGCCAUGCCCCUUUGUGUAUUUUCUACCAGUAAAUGUCACGUUUCAUCUGCACAAGUGUAAUGUGCCUCCAAGUAUGAAAAACGGAGGGUGCUUCCUUUCAUAAAUGUUUUUUGAUUUUCUAAUUUUCCACAAUACCCUCACAAACUUCACAAAAUAAAACAAUACUUGAAAUAGAUUCCGAAAGCGAAAUCAUUAAAAGUGGCCAGAGGAACUGGUAAAUGGCUUAAUCAUAUUACACAUUUGAUUCAAUAUCUUAGAUUUAAUCAUUCUUACAAAAUUCUUUGGAGAACAACCUAUGAACUUCUACAACCGUCGCAGUUGUUUAUGAGGUUCUAUUUUCAGCCCAACAAUAUGUUACUACUUACUGGUUGUUGAAUGUUGCAACAAAUAAUAAGAGGCGGUAGAGAAUGGCAACCACAACUUAGUUAAUCUAACUAAUAUUGAAGUAAUGUAAUAUCAUCACAUUAAAGAAGGUUAUUAUUACUUUUUAGUUGAAUUUAAAUUUAACUUUAAACAUGAAAAGAAAAGAAAAAUGUAAGGGCGAAAUGUCCCUCCCUAAUAAUUCUCAAUGAGUGUCAUUUGGAGAGAUUAACGUUAACCCCUCCAUAUACCAACUAAUCCAGUGUGAAAAAUCUCCUCCGCAAAGGUUGCUAUUUUUUCUUAACCGCUACAUCUCUGUUUAUUAUUACUGCCCCUCCCAAAACCAACAAAAGGAAACCUCCUUCACUAUUGCUCUAUUCGCGUUUUGUCCUUCACUUCCAAUAUUGGCGCAAUCUUAUCACUCUCAAAUGGGGAGAAUGGGAAAAGAAUCAGACUCCAAGACCAAGUUGGUAUUAGAGAUUUGCUCCAUUUCCACGCGUUCUGUGCUCUGUGUUCAUCAUACACUUCUCUCAAAACCUUUCAUUGACUGGUAUUGCAUUCUUGGAGUAAGUUCUUUAACCUUUCUUGUUGAAGAAAACCAUACAUGGGUUACUUUUUAUGAUGCAAAGUUUCUCCAUAUUGGGUUCUCAUAGGUGGAAGAAAAUGCAGGGGUGAAUGCCAUUCGCAAGAGGUACCAUAAACUGGGUAGGUUUAACUGGUUUUAUGGCUAUGUGAAAUCUGCAUUCUCUCUCUUUUUCCUGAAUAAUGAGCAACUUGUCUUUCUUUUUUCUUCUGUAGCCUUACAAGUUCACCCAGAUAAGAAUAAGCAUCCCAAUGCUGAAAUUGCUUUCAAGCUCGUUUCUGAGGUAUUUUUAUUAUGUUUUUUUUUUCUUCUUUUUAUUGGUUACCCACUUGGCCUGCAAGUAAUAUAGCAAUGAAUCAAUGAACAUUUAUUCUCUGGUGAUUCUAAAUUUUGAAGGUGUGUUAUCAACCCCCCAUGUAGGCAUAUACCAUAAAUUCUUCCACCCAAUUAUGAGUAAAGUGGAAUACAAUCUCAUUCCUUAUCCCUGGUUUUCUUGCAGGCAUAUGCAUGUCUAUCUAAUGCAGCAAAGAGAAAAGCCUUUGACUUGGAGAGAUGUAAGCAUUUUUGCUUCGAGUGCAAAAGAAUACCAUAUACAUCGAGCAAUGUCCCUGGCAAUUCAAGUGGGUCAGUUUUCAAGGCAUGGAAUAUGAUCACCAGAUCAAGAUCUUUUAAACUUUGGAGAAAUAUUAGGGACAUGAGAGAAAGAUUCAUGGACGAGGCUAAGGUGAUAGAGAACUGUUUGCGAACAAAUUCAAUGUCAAGGAAAGAAUCUCCACCCUAUGAUUCGGCUGGCUUUCUACAUAGAAGCAAGUCAAUGCAUAGAUUCGAGAAAGAAACCCCAGUUUUCAACCCAUCGGAUUACUUGUACCAAGGCUACCCUCAUCUAAGGAGCAAUAUUUACAAGAAUUCUUCAACAUUUUGGUACUUGCAGAGAAAUAGUAUGCUUCACAACGAAAAGGGAGGAGCGUUGCAUGCCUCCCCAGUUUUUGAUGUCAAAUCAAGGAAUUUGUUUGCCAGCAAAUUCACUUUUGUCCCAUCAAAAUGUUAGCUAGAAACAUUUUUUUAAUGCAAUGUGAUUGGCAGAUUCUCGCUUCUUUAAAGGAUUAAUUGCAUUUCAUUAUGAAAUUGUCAUAAUAUAUGCGACUCAUUUAGAAUCUCCAAGAGUAAAAAAUGCAUUGAUUAAUUAAAAAUAACGGCCAACAUAGCUUGAAAAAUCAAAUUAAACAGCUGAACACAAUAAGAACGUAAACGCAUACAUGUUACAAUAGACCGGUAACACUCCCUGUGUUGCAAAAUUGCUGCAUUUUGAAAAUAUGCAAAAGUAGAUCAUUACAUCAAGUAAUGUCAUUGUUUCUUCUGGUUGUCAAAAUUACGACAGCAGCUUUCUCAUCAAAUUUAGUUUGUGCCUUUUAACUCAGAAAUGAAGCUUCGCUACUGCCUCCAUGUCAUAACUUGGCUACUGAUAUCGUGGAGCAAACCUGUCCAUUUGAGAUAUAGUUUCCUUCUCCAUACACGACAAUUAUUGGUUUGCUUGUUCUUUAGGCUUUGGGUUUUUGAGAAUUCCAUUGUCAAUUAAAGGCUGUAGCUCUUUUUUAACAAGUUUUUGUACAGUCGGGUCUGGUGAUUCCAAAAAUGCAGAAAUAACCUUACAGCUGCAAUCAUAUUGAGAAGACAAAAAUGAAUACGUAAGAAAAUCAGUCCUUUGCAACCUGCUUGAAUUGGAGAAUAAUCUUAAAGAGUAAAUGAAACCUACCUGUGGCCAUGCACCCAUAACUCACUUUUCCCUUUUAAAGCUUUUUCCCAUAAGGUGGAAGCAAAGUUGGGGCAAUCCAAAAUCAGUUUUCUAAUGGUGCGACUUGAAUGGAAAUUUUCAAGGACAUGCUCCUCUUGUGAAUCUUCUGAUUUAGGCAUUGCUGCAAGAGAAGCUACUGCAUUGUGGAGGGAAUUUAUCUUAUCACCUAAAGCUGGGUGCAUUAUGCCCUCAGAACCCCCUGUUGCAACCUGCUUGUGCAAUUGAAGUUACCAAAACUGCAAUGCUCGGUGACAAAUUUAAAGAACCUGUGAAAUUAUAAUAUCAAUAUCAUCUUUAUUACCUCAUAUAAGACCUCUUUGCCAAAAUUUGACUGAAUCAGUUCUCCCACGCUCUCAAUACAUAUAUCAAGAAGACUCUGCAUAACAAGUUACAAUCAAACAGCAUUUUCAGCACAACUUCAUAAUUCUCAAGUAAUUGACCUGGCCCCAGAUUUGCAUAUCAUCAAAAUCAGUACUACCUAAAGUUCCUUUUUUAAGUAUCUUUUAAGGCUGCUACAUGGGGGUUAAGAAAUACACUUAAUGUUCUAAUUUUUGUUAAAAUUAUUAUUAGAUUUCCUACCACAUAUCUAUCUCAUUGAUUGAUUUCUCUAUUAUUUAUUAUUCUUCAUUUCUCUUCCUCUUUAAUUUCAUGAUAAAUGUGUAACAUAAUUAAAAAUUAGCUGAAGGGUAUAAUUGACAAAAUAAAAGUUAAUAUUGUCUUAAAAUUAAAAAAUUCCUGAAAAACAGACACUUACAAAUGAUCAGAGGUAAUAUGAUUAUGUGAACACUAUAAGAAAUUGUUGGAACUAAUGCAUUCAUGUAUCACAUGACAAUACAUUUAGUACUCAAGGGAAUUAGCGUGUAGGGAGUUGCACACUUGCACUCAAUAUUAGCCAAGGAAAUAGUCUCCAAUAAAUCUAUGAAAAGUCUAUUGUUUGGAUGAUAUGCAGAACCAAUACAUUACAUUCUCUCUUGAAUAAGGAAGCUUUUCAUUGUCUAAAUUCUCUCUAACAGAUUGUUUUCUCUCUCUAAAUCUCCCCCUCAAAAUUCAGCAGAAAAUGUGUAAAGAAAUUUUCUUUUUUCAGAAUGAAAUCAGGAAUAAAAGAUUAAGGAAAGGAGGCAGACAAAAAUCAGUAUAAAACACUAGUGAAACAUGAAAAAACAUAAAUUAUUAGAAGAAAAGCUAAAGCAACCCACAUCUGCAAGCCCACUCUUGAUCAACAGCUCCUGCCUUCUGACAAAUGGGUCUUUUUUCCCACUCUCAGCUAAGUCAGAAUCAUCCACAGAAGUUUUAUCUUUAUUAACUUCGUUCAAUGCCAACUCUAUGUCAUCCUUGGAUUCCUUGUCACCAAGUGAAACCUUCGAAGUUUCUGUCAGAGAGCUUGCUUCUGACUGAUCCUGAUAGCAAUCAAGUGAAGAGUGUGACUAAUAUAGCUGCUUCAAAGUACCAAAAAACAGAAAAGGUAGAUUCAAAAGUAACCUUGAGAGACAGAGAAGGUAUAGAUAAAUUCAGAGAAGCAAGAUCAUCAGGACUGAAAUAACGUGAACUAUUAGGAUGUAGUAAUUGGAGUAAGGGACGCCUUCCAUUCUGUAAAAUUCAGAAGUAAACAACAGAACUUAGAAACUUACAGCCAGAAAAUGUAAUAAACACAUCAUAAGAAUAUAAAACAAACGAUCUUUCUAUAUUGGCUGGGUUCAAAUGGUUGAAAAAAAUUUGCAAAAAAUACUAACUGCUCAAAUUCAUAUAAGGAUUUCUAAGAAAAUAUUUAUUUAAUUGAAGAAAACUAUAUUGAUUUCUCAUUUACAAUGCUUGUAAACAUCAUAUAUUCAUAUGUAAAGUAUGGAAGGAGGAACCUUAUCUAGAACAAGCUCCUUUAAAAUUGACUGAAGCUCACGAAUGAUAACCUGCAACAUGAAUGCUUUAAUGUUUAAUAUGAAACAAAAAUUUGGUUAUGUAGAAAUAAGGAUUAUUUAUGGGAAAAUCAGAAUAAAAACAAAACCAAACAAACCUUUGUUAUCAGUUUGGUGUCGUCAACAACUGAAAGGAUGCAAACCAGCACCUGAAAAUUUAAUCACAAUCUGAGUGUUCAUACUAAAAUCUGAAAGGUAACUUAUAGAAACUAGAAGUUAGGGGCAAUGACAUGAUGCUUUUUCACUGAUAAGGGAGUUAUUGCUUCUUUUAAAGUUGGAAAUAUGUCAUUCUAAAACAAGUAGAAAAUUAAGAGUCACAGGUAGCAACUACAUACGAGAUGAAACUAUUGAGUCAAUACACUUGCCAAUGACCCAAGGAACAGUAUGGGCAUAUAAAUGAGAUACUAGAAGGCCAAGAAUCAAGGAGGAUGGUGAACUCAAACAAGCAGAGAGGGGUAAUUUAACAAACAAGGUACAGCCAUAUGACAAGUUAGUUGUGGAAAUGUCGGUACUUGGUACUGGACAUCUGGCAGGAGAAGAAUAGCAGAGGCAUUUCUGGAAUAUUUCUUGAGCAGCGUACAAACUGUUUCCAGAGUAGGGUGGGGAGAGAGGGGAGGUAUGCAAUUAUUUAGAAUGUGGUUUUGCUAAUUGGGUGGUGUUUGUCCUUUCUGCAUAAUCCCACAGGAAUGUUUCCUUUCAUUUACUUUUCUGUGUGUUCACCUGUUCGGCUGGUGGAUUUUGGUAGUUAUUAAUUUUUCAAGGAGCUAGCCUCCAUUGUUUGAGAGAAUUCUGGUUCUAAAUUUUAGAACCCAAAACAAUAUGUUAACCAAGCACGUAAGCCUUUCUUACCCCCUAGAUGUUUUGUAAUAACAAAUCCCCGUCAAAUGACCUGGGUCCAAAUUUGAUUCACAGCUAUUUUCAAAUUUAUUGUGUCAAUUUCGACCUUGGUUCACCAGGCCAAAUUUAUUGUGUCCAUUUUGAUCUUUUUUAUUUGUGGCCAGGGAGAGGAGGCAUCAACAUGAAUAAUAAACUUUGAUAAGUGUAAGGCAUAACUAAACCUUACAUAUGAUGGGCAACCAAAAACAUAUCCCCACAGAGUCAAAUUACUUACCAUGCACCCAUAUUGAUGAUAAGCUGUUUUGUCUAUGUGCCCCUUCAAUCCUUUGAUAAUCUUCUUCCUUUCCUAAGAAUGGAAUGUGAAGAAGAAAAAAUCAUAUGUUGCAUUCAGUCAUCAUGAGUACUCUAAACAUUUCUAUUGGUAAGAAAGAAAUUGAUAGACACACCUUGGCAUUCCCAUAUUUUACACAAAGAAUUCCAAUUUUAGCUCCAUCCCUCGUACCAAUCAUUCUAACAAUGAGUGGACUUGAUAACUGUUGGAUUAUAUCUGUGACAGAUGACUUUUAAAAAAACUUAAUUUAGAUAACAGAACAUUGUGAAAUUUGUUGCUGUAAUAAAAGGCAUGAAGAAAUAUUGGGGAAAUGGGAGAGAAGUACCUUAUCAGCAAUGCUAAAAUAUUCAAGUAAGACUCUGUGUAAAAUAGAGUGGUCAACUAUCCCUUUCUCUAAAAUUGGCUGAAUCACUGAUGCCAUAUGUCGCAGAACUGAACCUUUCUGUAGACCCAACUUGGACAUCACAUCUAAUAAUCUGACAUGCAAUAAAAAGCUAAGGAAAAAACUCCAGCAAGAAAAAAAAAUAAAUCACCAUAUUGAAUGUCUUACACAUCCACUUAAGAUCAGUAAAAAUAAGAAAUUAAGUAACAUUAAUUCAUGGAGGGAAAGGGGCUACUAUUAUAAGCAGAAAUUGUCCUUGACACUGCUCUAUACAUUACCAGAUUCAUAGAAUAAAAUUAUCAAUACAAAUUACUAUCAGGUGAUUACUCAUCUACAAGUAUCUAAAUGGAAGUUGACUUCAAAGAACUAAUGUACUAUGUUUCCUAAGUAAUGUAUUUCAAAUUUAACUUAUUUCAAAAUCUCCAGUGUACUCACAUAUAAUGUAGUGGUAUAUCAAGCAAAUAGUCAAAAACUAAUUAACUUUAUAUUGCAUAAAUUUUGCUUCCCAAUUUCUAUAACCCCUGGGCCCUCCAAAAAAAUCCCCAAAAGGAAUUCAAACAGGUCUCAAAGAAAUUUUAAAAAAAAGUUAGAACAGAAGUUUCAUCUUUUCUUCCUAUGUAACUUUUGCAGAGAGUGGAUGUGUCAUUUUGCACUCUCCCUCCAUGAGAAUUGAGAACAGUUACAUAUUUCAGAUUCCAGUAAUUAUUUUUUAAAUUAUUUUAAAUAUGUAACAGCUUAUAAUGAUGUAGAAUUGUAGAUUACCAACAUCAUCCAAGAUGCUAAAAAGUAAUUCCUAACAACUGAGUCUUUACCUGCUCUCUUUCAAUGAGACUAGAUCCUUAAACAACCGAAGUUCCGUAGAGUAUAAUUCCGAAAGCAGUUCUUGCUUCUGUGCAGCAUUUGCUAACUCAUAAGCAUGCUCAACAACUGCAUAACAUGUAGAUACACAAAACUUAUUGUAGGGAAGUUGACUUUGGCUAAAAGCUGAACACUCAAAUUCAAAUUGUUAACAUUGAACAAUUUCAUAUAUCAGAGCAUGAAAAUCCACAGAUUUAAUGAGAAGAAAACUACUAUUGCCCCCUCUACACAAUCCAGAUCCAAAAUAAACUUAAUGUCAAUAAGCAGCUAGAUACUUCAAAAGAAAAAGUGGCAAGCUUUCCUCUAGUGAGCCAUUAAAAACUUUGAACCAUAUAUGAAGCAAACCAUGAACAACCACAAGCAACAUACUACCCAAACCUAAGUUACAUACCAACUGAUCCAACCAUAUGGCGAAGAAGAGGAGCAACAUGACCAUGGAGAGUGGAGAUAAAGCCUGCUAGUUGUUUCUUGGAAGCUGAAAAUGGAGAAUGACCAAUUAGAAAAAAAGGUGACACUGACAAAUAACAACGUAUAUUUCAAUUUUCAAGUAGACCAUUACCGUUGUCGAGCAUCUUCUUCACUAAGUGAACAGCAUAUGCACUAUAUGCUAGAGUUAGAAAAUGUGGCUGAAGCUCUUCAAAUACUGCAUCUCUUUCAGCUUGUGAACAAUGCUUGACACAUGUCUAUCAGUUAAAACAAAAAGAAAGCGAAAGAUGUAAAAUGCAAGUUCCUCUAAAAGCAUGUGAAACUGAAAUGGAACAAAAAAAAACGGGAUACCAACAAACAUACCUGAAGAAUCCGAGAUGAGAUGUGAGAGCCCGCAAUCUCUGGAAUCUUCCCCUUCAUCUUUUGCAAAGCUUCAGUCACUAGCCUUGAAUUAUAUAAAAGUUCCAAGUAAGACAUAGUAUAAAGAAUUAAACGAAAAAGAAAAAGGAUUAGCAUGCCAUAAACAAAGAAAUAUCAGCCCUUAAUGUCUUGUUGUAGGAACAUACUUAGCUCUGUCCUCUUUAGCAAUCUCAUGACGUCUCAUCUUUUCCCAUAGACGUGCAAGCUCCUAUUCAGAAUUAAAUUAAAAUUAAAUACCACCUGGUGAAUUCCCAGCCAUCAAGGUUACAGCACUCAAUUCAACUGAUGGAAGAACAAACAAUAAAAAAAAAUAAUAAUAUGUCUCACUUGCUCAAGAGUGAAAUGUCGCUUUCUCUUCUUUUUUCUAGCAUCUGCUAGUUCCUGAUACAAAACAAUCAUAAUCUCAUCUAAUCAAUAAAAACAAAUAAUCUCCAAAUGCCUCAACAAUUAAUUAAUUGGCAUAAAACAAAAAAGAAAUUGCGAAAAUCCUGGAACGAUCCAAAGCGAAAUCGUAGAUAUUCUAAUUAUUAAGGAAGAGAAACCUUGGAAUGAAGACGACGUUCUCGGCCGGUAAGAGGAGCCGUCUUCUUGUUCUUGUUGUCUUUAGCAACGGAGUCUGGUUUGUGCUUCUUUGAGGCAACGAGCUUCGAAGCCUUGGGAGCUUCGUGAGUUUCAGUAUUGAGUCGCUUUCUCUUUUUGGUGUCUCCGGCGUCAUGCUUCUUCGCCGCCAUUGCUUAAGCUCUGAGAUUGAGUUGCUUGCAGCUAUUGCCUGUCACUGGAAAGGGAACCCUCUCUGUCUAACUCCGAGAAAAACGAUUACUAGGGUUUAUACUUUAUACUAAGGCACUUUCUACCGUGUACCCAUGGGUUAGAUAAAUGAAUGGUUCACACAAUUUUUUACAAGUUUUUCAAAUGGUUCACGAAUGCUACACUAUUUUAGAACCGUUAGAUGUAAUUUUAAAAAGGCAAAGUUGCAUUUUUGUCCUUCUAUUUAUUUCUAGUUUCGGAUUUGAUUCUCCAGUAAUUUAUUUCACGAAUUUGGUCAUCCUAUUUUAUAAAAUCGUGCAAUGUUGUCCUUCAGGCCACACAAUUAAAUGUUAAUCGUUAACAAGUGAUUAUGUUGACGGUCAUGUAUAGGUUCUUCUUUCAUGGAGUUGACAUCCAAUUAUAACAUGAUAUUUGACAAUCAUCAUCCAAUAAAAACGUGUCAUGUGGCCGUCAACAUUACUUAUUAACGGUGAACGUCCCAUUGUGACAUGAGAACCAACAUUGCACGAGGAUCACAUUUACAAUUUUGCCUUUUAAAAAAGACAACGGUUGAGAUUUGUCAAAUUUUAUUUUUUUAUUAUUUUGUAUGGUUUAAUUUAUUUAAUUAAAAAAUAAUUACAACAACAAAAAGUCUGAAACACCCUUCAUCCUCAACAAUCGAAUUGUCGUCCCCCUCUGCCUUGGUGGCACCACCGUGGUUGGACUUCCCCAAUUGGGCCUUCUUUCUAUCGACCUCCUUUUCCCUUUUCGCCACAUUCAACUCCUCUGUAGCCGUUGUUGUCCUCGCCUCCGAAAAGGUGAAAACCCUCCAUCGUGCUUCCUCCUUCAUGGCCAAACAUGAGCACUGCUACCAUGGAGGCGAGACUCAGCGUCGGAUGAUAACGGCAAACCUCCAACUUUGAUAAUAACAAAAAUCAACAAAAGCACAAACCAGGAACGAAGUUGUCCAGAAAAAUAGGUUUAUGAAUUCACACGAUUUGGUUUAUGUUAAUGCCAAAUUCAUUUUUUUUAAAAUAAUUGAUCUCUUGAAAAAUUUGUUUACACUAAUUGAGUAGGAGUGGUCAAGUAGUAGAGCGGAAUCGAGAUUUGGAACCAGGUAAGGCUUUCACAACUUUUUUGGAAAAUUGUAGCUCCGUUAAAUGUUCCUCGGGCAACUGAAUUUUUCAUAACCCAAAAAUUCUCUUCCCGUUGACAACAACAUGUCGAACCCAAUUGAUAUGCUUUCUUUUGAUAAGUUUGUUGUUACCAGAUAAAUAAAAUGGCGUUUUGUGUUUUGUUCCCAUGCAUCAAAAAUUUGUUCAGAAAAAUUGAAGGUGGGGUUAUGCAUCGAAGAAGGAGGGUCAUGGUUGAACUGGAAGGAAGGAGACAAUGGGAGCUCAGUAGUCAUUUUACAUUUUACAAUACGAGUAUAUUAGUCAUUUUAUAUUUAAAAUUUAUUUCCAAUUAUAAAAUAAAGUAUUGUAGCCGCUUUAUUUAGUGGACCACGGGUGAAGCAUUUGAUGGACUUCCCCAUGGUAGAAAGCGCCUUAUACUAAUUUCAUAUAUUAGAUUAGGGCUUUCUACCAUGGACAAUCAAUUUUGGAUGAAUGUUGAAUGUGGUUUACAGAAAGUCUUGCAUGGAUACAAUUCCAUCACGUCAUAUUUGGACACAGUCAAUGAAAAAUUGACACUUCAUCAAACAUCAAAAAUUAAAAAUUCAAUAUAUCAAAAAGCAUGAAUUAGAACACGUGAACCCUUCCUUUGUCUCAACCUUCACUUGACUUUUGUCUCCUCAAAGAUUGCGGCGACCCGUGAGAUCUAGACGUUGUGCGCCUGGUGCUUCCAGUGAACAAGCACACCGUUUCCACGAGCACCGAGGUCAUUACCAGAUCCACUUGAUAACGCGGCAAAAGGCAGCGACACAUUUCACAUUUCCACUGUCUCACAACCACAACCACAAUAGCAACAAAAAGAAAAUGUAGACAGAAUAGUGGAAGAGUCGUGCACGGUUUCUCGAUGGCGACCAAAUUUUGUUAUGUGGCAAUAUCGACUUGUCCCCUUCCAAUGUUUCUGCGCUGUAGUGUGUCGAGCUGCGGGCGAUUUUCUCAAACGCUCAAAAUCAAAGCAGAAAGGUCGACGCCGAUGUGGUAAGCCUAUAACUGACGCUGAAGACUCUUAUUCUAAAGAUCUGGCGAACAAUUGAUUCGUAUGAUGAGUAGUGCGGAGCUAAAUCUAGAGAUUAUUGAGACUAUAUGUAAUGUUUUGAACAACUAUUAAUAGAGCCUUCUUGAAUAAUUAUAUGAUUCUUUUUCAUUACGUAAUAUUGGAUUUUUCAUAUGCUUUCUGAGUUGAUUCUCAUUAACAGAAUGUCUGUUGGGGUUAAACAAUGAUUUGAAGCAAACAUGAUUAAUGGAUUAAGAAGAUUGUUGAUAGAAAUCCGUUGAUGACCACAAGUUAAACACGGUCAGAUAUAUAGUAAAACAAUUCAACGAUUCAGAUUGGAUAUUUUUUUUAUAUUUUUAAAAGUAGGAAUUAAUAUAAUAUAAUAUAUUAAAAAAAUAUGUUUAGUUUGAUUUGUAUUUUCAUUUCCUGUUUUUAUUUUUUAAAAAUUAUUUUUAUUUUGAAAAGAUUUAAAUUCUAAAAACAUGUUUGAUUUGACUUUUUACUUUCUGUUUUUAUGAAAUAAAAAUACAUGAUAUUUUAAUUUUUUAUCUUUUUGUAUUUUUAAAUUUAUUUAAAAUUAUAUUUAUUGCCACCCCAAAUAAGAUUUUUGUUCUCAACUCGAAAAUAGUACGAAUGAGAAUUUAUUAUUUUUAUUAUUUAUUGUUUUUAUUUUCACUAAAAAUAUUUUCAAAAAUUCAACCAAAAACAUUUUCAGUAAAAAUAAAAACAAAAACAAUCAAAUCAAACCAAAACCCCCUCAAUUUUCCGGCCUUUUCUAUUUUACCCCACACUGAAAAGGGAGGUUUUGUGGGCAUGUGUAAACCGAUUAUGGUCGGUCCAUCCAUCGGUGAAGCAGCGACUGAGGCGCGCCGAACUACAUCGAGCCGGAGAUCAUCCGAUAAUGACCAUGAUCAAUUCAAAAUUCAAAACAACACUGAUGACCACAAACCAAAAAAUCCAAUAAUGACCAUGAUCAAUUCAAAAUUAAAUUUAGACUUUACGGAUCCCACGAUAAUCCAUUGCAAUUAAAAAUUACAAAUAACCAUCAAGAAUCCAUUACAAAUGCAAAUUACAAGCAACCUAAUUGAAAGAAAGGGAAGAAAAAUUGUGAAUCUUCAUCCUCGUCACGGCACACUGACGACGCAAUGAUAGCCCACCCUCUCCACACACUGCGCGCGCCUCCUUCUCUCCCCCGGGCUCUCCUCCUUUACGCGCCCAAACCUUCCCUCAGCUCCGUCAGUGACAACCUAAAGUCUCCAUGGAAGUGAAUGAAGAACUCCGUAAGAUGCCUAAUCUCGAUGAGGGGAAAGGGAAAAGGAUUGGGGUAAACUCUUACCACUGCACCUUUUGGGAGAGUUUUUAAAAAUGGUUCUUUUUGUUUGGAGGCUUAAAUGUUAUUUCACAUUAAAUUUUUCUUAACUGAUUAAACAUAUUUUAAGUACUAUAGUUGAUUUUACUUCUCUAUGUGUGAACCACAUAACACAUUUCUCUUUACUGUAGAAACCGGCCUAGAUUAUAUUAGAAAAAAAAAAAAACAAUCCGAUAUAUCUUUCUUGUUUUUCGUAAUACUAUUUGUUAUUUAUUUGUGUGGUAUAAAAGAAAAGACGUCUUCUUGAAUUGAUAUUAGUACAAUGAUCCGUAUAAUUUUCUGGUAUUGACUUUACAAUUUAAACACUUUAUAUUAUUAUAAUUUUUUUAUGUAUUUUUAUUCUUUUAAAAGUUACAUAUAUACAUAUAAAAGGUACGCAUAAAUAUUAAGAGAUUUAGUUGAGUAGGCGAUUAUAAAUUCUGGCUAUCAUAUUCAAUUUUUAUGAAUAAAAAAAGAAUAUAUGUAUAUAUAAAUUUAUAAUUUUGGUUAUUUUUAUAUCACAGUGGAAGAAAUAAAUUUAAAUACUUUUUUAUUGGUAAAUAUUAGUAUUAUUAUUAAAGCUACACAUGCAAUGGUACAUAAAUAAUUUAGAAUUAAGUUAUGUUUGACUUAGUUUUUUUUUCUACUUAAAAACUACUUUUAAGUUAAAAUAAAUAUAAUACUUGUGCACAACUUCUUUGUAGUAAAUAAAAUAUUAGAAUUUUUUACAAGGGAAAAAAUAUAUUUAAGCAUUUUUUUAAUUUAUAGUUAAGCCAUACAUUGCUACUGUAACAUGUUUCGUUGCUUCUCACUGAUUUGGAAAUGCUUGUCAAGUGGUAUCGGGUAUGGAUCUAAAUAAUUGUAGGUAUAUAUUGUCUUCACGUAUACAAUACAGCCCAAUAUCAUUUGGUGCAUAUUGUGGAGAGGAAGAGCCUUGUGAUUCCACAACAUUAAUUUCUCUCAAUUUUGUGGAGUAUGUAAUCAUCGGCAAAAGGCCGAUUCAGUGAGAAGCAGGGUUCGAUCAAUCAAACAAAAUCGUGAAUACAUUUGGCUUGAAAGCUAUAUAUGAGGGCAGGCCAUGUAGCAAAAGUUGUUUCAUUGGUCUCUCAAGUCUACUCUUUGUAUAGAUUUUGGCCAGAUCUUGUAUUUUUGUUUACAUGUAAGCGGCAGAAUAUUUCUCUCUUAAUAAACUUUGGACUUACAUUCAGUUUGGGAUUAGAUUUCUAUCUGUAUCAGGCAGAUCUAGAGCCUGCCAUUGCCAUAGCCAUAGGUUGAGUAGUUCUAAAUAUUUACUUACAUAUAGUGUAUGAAUGUAUCACUCCGUAUGUGGUCCAAUAACCUUAAGGUAUACCGCAUACAACUUUUUUUUUCUUUUCUAAUGAGAAUAAUGCUUUGUUUUUAUUAUAAGGAGGCCAAAAAAAGCCUUAAUGGGAAUAAUGCUAAUCAAGUUAAUGGCGAGGCUACCUAAGAUAACUCCGUCCAGGGGCUCUUUGUAAAGUGGAAUUUGAUCCACAUAAUACGUUACCACAACAAAGGAAAUCAGUUCAUCAGCUCACUUUUGUGGACCUAACGUUACUCUUUUUUAUUUUAUUUGGUGAAAUAUGUAAUUUUGUCUAUUGUACGUCUAUCUUUAUUCUAUUUUUUUUACAGCAUCUUUAUUCUAAUUUUAAAAUGUAUUAAACGAAACAAAAUUAAUAUGUUAUCUUUCAUCAUGUUCUGAUCCAUUUAAUAAAUGCUACCAAAGCAUCUCUUAUAUGAUCUUUUAGUAGGACCUAAUUAAUAUAUGUACAAUACAACUAGCAUAUUUGAACAACCUGUUUAUAAUUAAUUUAUUGGUUUUCCUUAAGCAUUUUUCUGUUCGUUCACCUCCAAUAUUGGGCCUGGGCGAGGAAGCAAACAUUAGAGUUAGAGAGGAAGAGAAACAUUUUGACUCUUAUAGUUUUUCUCCUCUCUCCAUCUUUUUGAAUUAAACAAAAGUAUUUUUAUAAAAAUCCUUUCACUUCAUUUUUUCUUACACCUAGGCACUUUUAAAACUUAAUUAAUCAUGCAUAUGAUAUUAUUUGCGUGUUACCAUGAUGAUUACCUGGACAUGCAUGGUAAUUCUUUUGUAUAUGCUUUGCCCAAUAAAUAGCAUGCAAGAGAAACUGUGUAGGCUUGAUCAGCAGCGCGAUCUACUAAUGAAAACCGGUCCUUUAAUUAUUUUUUAACAAAAGUAAUAUAUAUAUAUAUAUAUAUAUAUAUAUAUAUAUAUAUAUAUAUAUAUAUAUAUAUAUAGCUAACUAAAGAUGAUUAGAUUUUCAAGCAAACUUCGGGAUCUAUUAGCUAGCACUUGAAAAUUUUAUAUAUCAAUAAUCCAUUUUCCCCUUUUUCUUUUCCUUAAAUACCAGCUGCUUCAAAAUUAGUAUAGUAAGUAUAUAUUAGGUUGGAGUAAAGUUCAAUUCGUCCUUUUCACUGUCUGUUCUCUCUUCUUUCUUCAUCUGAAACUAGCUAGGGCUCUUCAAUUCGAUCCCAUAAUUAUUUGGUCAGCAACCAUUGUACCUAAUAUGAUAUGAUAUGAUACCGAAAAACAUAUACGACUAUAUAUAUAUAUAUAUAUAUAUAUAUAUAUAUACACGUACGAUCAUGUACGAGUUGCUGGCCUUGUUUCAGUAGUAGUUGCCAGCUUUGGCUUGGUGCAUGAUCAUCUUUAUUAUUGCAUUGGGCAGAAUAAGGUUUAACUCUUGGCACAGCAUGAGGUCUCUUUUGGGACAAAUAAUUGAGUCUGUGGUGUUUGUCUUUUGGUUCGGCACGUGCACGUAACAGUGACAGAAAAUGACAUGAUUUAGGGGACCUUGCUGCUGCUUCCAUGCAUCUAUAGAAUUCGAAUGUCUUGCAUUGGCCCCAUAAAUCAUGAUGAGACCUUCUCACCUUCGGCCUUUUCUAUUCCCCACCCUCCCUGUCUUGGCACUUGCUGCAAAAUGUAUGUCCUGCUCUCUUCUACAAAUUGAGACUCGUCAAUGAUAAAUAAAUGUGGUUGACAAGAUUGGUUAGAUGGAUUCAUUUGCAAUGACCACAUAGAUUUGUAAUCAAAUUGUAUAUAUAUGCUCCUUGUCGAACACUAUACUUCUAGAAUAAUUAUGAGUAGGUAUGUAUAUGUACCAAGAAAAAAGGGCAUCUCUUGUUGUAGAAUCUAAAUAUUUAGAAAAGAAAAACUUGGGCAAUGUCAAUGUCAAUUUAGGUAUGCAUUUUGACUUUUGAAAUUUUCUAAAAUCCUUCCAAUUUCUUCUCUUUUCUCCUAAAGAAAAUGAGUAUAAACAGCUAGCUAGCCAAUUAGGCUCCCCCAAACAUUAACCUUGCAAGAAAGAGCCAGCUAGUUGAAUAGUGGACUGUGGACACAGAGCUACCGUCAAACACAAAAAAAAAGUAUCCAAUUGCAAAGUAAUGCUCCGAAUGGAAGAUGUGGUUUUUAGCUAAUAAUUGCUGUAAGUAAUGUUUGGCAAAAUCUUGAAUGCUUAUAUGUCCCUUAAAAACUAUAAGAAUCCUUGGAUUACAUGGCUCCCAUUAACUUUAUCAUUACCACACAAAAAAACAAAAUUACACCAUAUGACAGCAGUUGCCAAUUGAUAGGAUAUUUGGCUCUCAGUGUUCAUACAUGCGUUCAAAAGGGCUCACAUCUGAGACUAUACCUACACGGCUACACGUGUGUGAUGACUUUAGUGCCCAUCCUUACAUUCAAUGAGUAAUUAUAUACUCGGAUUUUUUUAGAGGAUUAUAUACUUAGAUUUACACUUGUUACUAAGAUUUUAAUUAAAUAUAAUAUACUUUUUUUAAUGUAUUUUUUAAUAAAUAAGAAAAUAUAAAUAUUAUUUUCGUACUUAUAUUAGUUACAAGAAAUUAAUAAAAUAAAAACAUUAAUUAAAAGUAUAACAUUUAACUUGGUUAUAAAAUAUCUUAAAUUAUUUCAGAUACAAAUUAUUAAUAGAAUAUAAUAAUAUAUAACUAUACAGUUAUAAAUCCUUAUAUAAUUCAAAUUAAAAUCUUAAUUUUUAAAAGAUUCACCUAAUAAAAUUAAAUAUGUAAAAAAUUUCAAUUAUUACAUUCUACAAUAUUAAUUAUGACAUCAAUUUUUUUGUUUGUUGGUCAAUAUUAUUCAUGAUUGUCAAGUGUGUCGAUCGAUCUUCAUGAUAUUUAUUGAUUGUCACAAUCAUUGUAAUUAUUGUUACUAUUAUCAUUAUCAUUAUUGUUACAACGAUAUAUAAUAGGAUAAUUAUAAAUUUAACACAUCAUUACCAUUUUCAUUAGGCUAGCAUCUUGACCAUUGUUGAUGAUUGAUGUAGGGUUCACUCUCCUUUCUAUACAUUAACAUACAUUUCUUCAUUAUCAUUCCAUUUCUUAUCCCCUCACCCACCAUUUGUCAAAUAAAAUUGCUUAUAAUAAAAUUAAUUUAAAAUCAUUAAAUAUAAUUAAUAGUUAUAUUCAAAUUAAUUUUAAUAUAAAAUAUUUUGUUAAAUCUUGUUACAAUAAAGAAAAAAUAUUAUGAAUAUUUGUCAAAUAUGCACUUCAUUUCUUAAAAAAUGGUUUUUCAACCUUAAUCCAACAUGAAAAAAGUUAAAAAAAAAAUCCCAUUUUGAUAAAUAAAAUUCAUGGUAAAACAACGAAUCAAAUUUUGAAUUUUUACUAAGAAAAAUAUUAUAUUUUAUACCAUAUUUUAAAUAUAGUUAUCUCAAUUUGGAUUAUCAUAUUUUAGGUGCUAACUAAAUAUGAAUUUUAUGAUGAUUAGUUUUCAUUACAAAAUUUGAUUAAUCGGUGUCAUUUUUUAUUUCAACUACGUUUUUGUUUUUUGUUUUAUUCACAAGAGACUCUGUUGAAGACUUACUUAGAGAUAUGUAAGAUCAGUUCUGCAAUUUUAUAUUUAUUAUUAUUAUUAUUUUGACUGAUUAUAAUUAUUAAUAAGUUUUAGUUUCAAUUAUCUAUUUAUUUAUAAUGAUAUGAUCUAAAUUUAGCGUUCUGAAGAUGAAAAAUAUAUUUGUCACAUUAAUAAAAGCGUGUGUACAUAUCAUGGAAGAAAGGACCAUUCAUCCUCUCCUCUUCUGUCAUUUACAUGAUUUAUGCUUAUAAUAUUCACUAACUUGCAUAAAGUUGUCCCUGUCCUUCGCUUCACCUUGCUUCUGGUUCCUCUCCUUCAAUAUUCUCUCUGCCCCUGCAAUUUAUUUAUUUUUAGUUCUUUCUCGGUGCUUUGGCACUAGCUCUGUUUCUUCUAUCCCUUGCACCGUGCUGUCAGAAGUUUUGACCAAAGAACAUGCUAGUACGUAUGUUUGAAUGUUUCUCUUCUUAUUUGUUAUGAAAUUCUUGAGCUUAUUGUCUUAUAUUGUUUUUGGAUUGAUAAACUGGCAAGAAAGAUUGUUUUCAAUUUUAAAUGCUUGAAUUAAUGUAUAUGUGUAUCCCAUUGUGGUACGUGUUUGAUUCCAUUUGGGUUUGGACCCGUUGGUCUUGCUCCUUUCAGAGGCAAUGGCAGUUGCUGUCCAUGGUAGACUUCAAUGGAAAUCUUUAUGAUCUGUAAAACCUGUAAACUUUGCAUUUCAAUCAUCAAAUGUAAUAUACAACAGCUAUUCUGUUUUAAGUCUUUCUGAAUUUUAUUCAAUUCAUUAACACAUAGUAUUGCAUUCAUCGUUAUUGAUGGAGAUGAGUCUUCUGCUUUGGUUAUUGACUUAUUGUCCUAGUUAUGAAAUUCUUCACAUUCAGACUUCCUGUUUAACUUAGGUAGUUGUGCAUUUCUAUCGGAAAUGCUUAUGAGUAAAGGGAAGUGAAUUAUUUGUUCACAGAAGAAGAAGAAGAGUCUUUUAUCUCUAUUUGUCUUGAAUCUAUCCAGGACAUAAUUAUUGUAUUUGUAGAAUGUCUUGUGAGAAUGAAUGUUUUGAUUUCCCUUCCUAAAAUACUUGUUCAGGUGGCAUUGCUCUUGCUGCUGGCGUUGAGCAAUGAAGUUCGAGUUAAUGGUGAUAGCGAUGGUAGACAAUGUGAGGUUAAUCCAGCACUAAAGCCAAGACCACACACUGUCUCCAUCUUGGAGUUUGGUGCGGUUGGGGAUGGUAAAACAUUGAACACUAUUGCAUUCCAGAAUGCCAUUUUCUAUCUCAAGUCAUUUGCUGACAAGGGUGGUGCUCAGUUAUAUGUGCCACCCGGAACAUGGUUGACUCAAAGUUUCAAUCUUACUAGCCAUCUCACACUUUUCUUGGAAAAAGGUGCUGUAAUUCUUGGAUCUCAGGUAUUUCACCUUUUGCCUUUUCUUUUACUGAGGAUAGCACAUGUAGCAUAUUCCAGUCUGGGGUCACUAUUACUGACAAGUGUUUUUUCUUAUUCUUGGCUUUUUACUUUGAUAGGAUCCAUUUCACUGGGAAGUUGUUGAUCCAUUACCUUCUUAUGGCAGAGGAGUUGAAGUUCCCGGGGGAAGAUAUCAGAGUUUAGUUAAUGGAUACAUGUUACAUGAUGUGGUGAUAACAGGUUUUUUUCCCACUCCCAACAUCUUUUCUUUUCCCUCCUACCCUUCCUCAAAUUUCCAUCUUUUUGAUGGGUAUGUUUAUGGCUUGAAAUUUCAUAUCUUAAUGGGUAUUACUAGGUAAUAAUGGAAUCAUUGAUGGCAUGGGAUUGGGUUGGUGGGAAUUGUUUAGUUCCCAUUCCCUGAACUACAGCCGUCCACAUCUGAUUGAAUUAGUGGCAUCUAAUCGCGUGGUAGUUUCAAAUCUUACAUUCUUGAACGCUCCUGCAUAUAGUAUUCACCCAGUUUAUUGCAGGUAUGUUCUGUGCUUCUUUUAAACACUUGAGUAAUAGCAACUUUGAAAACAAAAAAGUGAUAUUGGAUUUGGUUAUGUAUUGUCACACAGCAAUGUACAUAUUCACAAUGUUUCAAUUUCUGCUCCUCAAGAAUCUCCUUAUACCAUUGGCAUAGUACCAGGUGUGUUACAUAUUAUGGAAUUAAUAUUCGGUCAAUUUUGUGAGAAUAACAUUGCCUCCCAAAUUUCAAUAGCCUAUAGUAAAUGUUACCAAUGGUCACUUCGCUAAUUCUUGUGCACUUAAUUUCUUCAGAUUCUUCUGAUCAUGUUUGUAUAGAGGAUUGUGUCAUUGCAACGGGAUAUGAUGCAAUUUCACUCAAAAGUGGCUGGGACGAAUAUGGCAUUGCCUAUGGCAGGCCAACUGAGAAUGUACACAUCAGAAGGGUACAUCUGCAGGCUUAUUCUGGCUCUACUAUUGCAUUUGGCAGUGACAUGUCUGGUGGCAUUUCAAAUAUUCUUGUGGAGAAUGUUCAUCUUUACAACUCAAAGAGUGGCAUUGAGUUCAGAACCAUGAGGGGCAGAGGUGGUUAUAUGAAGGAAAUCAUCAUAUCAGACAUAGAAAUGGAGAAUAUAUACACCGCUAUGGCCGCCACAGGUUAUUGUGGGUCUCAUCCUGAUGAUAAAUUUGACCCUAAUGCUCUACCACUUUUGGACCACAUUAUUUUGCAAGAUAUGAUUGGCACAAACAUCACUAUUGCUGGAAGCUUUGCUGGUCUUCAAGAAUCUCCCUUCACUAACAUAUGCCUUUCCAACGUAACUUUGUCUAUAAAUUCUGUUUCUUCCAUUCCUUGGGAAUGCUCAAAUGUCUCCGGAUUUUCAGAUUCUGUUCUUCCCAAACCAUGUCCUGACCUUGAGACCCUUUCAGAUUGUCUCUCCCUGCUCAGUAUCAAGGGAAAAACCGCUGUCAUGUGAUUAGCCAUGAAAAGGUUCAUAUUCUUCAAUUCCCUGCUUGAAAGCCCAUGCAAAGUGAUUAGCCAUUUCUAUCUUUAAAGCCCACAUUCUUUCCAAUAAGACAGUGAUUUGGAGCAUUCAUUUUUCCAUCCUUAGAUUUGCAUUCUUGCAUGCUGCAUGCACCAAGAGAACUCAAUUUGAUUUUUGAUUUUUGCAUUAGUUCAUUGUGAUUUCAUUGUAAGGCAUGUGAUGGAUUUCCGUGAGGCUCAAUAAAAGAAAUUUGAACUUGAAGCCAUAAUACACUGAUGGUAUAAAAAUGUUGUAGGCAAUUGACAGUGUACAAAUAUUCAUACUGAAAACUAAAUUCAUAUUAUUUAUCCAUGUAAAGUUUGUAAAAUUUUAGAGUUUAAUUUUAAGAUAUUGUUAAUGUAAAAAAAAAAUAUGUUGUUAACCAAUUAAAAAUUAUCUCAGAUAUGAUUUUUAAAAUAAUUAUCAUAAAAUAUAACAAUAAAAUUAAGUAUGAUAAUUUAUAAUUGGAUUAUAGUGUUUAUAAUUUUUACACUAUUAGUACAUUUUAAUUAAAUUUAUAAUUUUAAAUCAGCAUUUGGUUGGGUUAGUAAAUUAUUCCCAGUAAAUAAAGUAAUUAAUAAUAAUUUCCAGCUCAUUAAUCAUUAUCUACCCGUCGCAUUAUGAAAAGAAAAAUCAUCACGAAAUUGUUAGCUAGUGUAAUUGCACUGACAUUUUCCCCAUGCUUUUCACAGACUCAGAGCUACCUUCAUUUCUUUUCUAGUUUUUUCCAGACGAGUUUACUCUCGUGAUUUUCGUUCCAACACUCACACAGUCACACAUACAAAGAAAAAAUAAUCCGAGUCCUUCUAAUACUUAAUACAUCAUACAUUGUUCACUAAAAAAAUGUCACGAAAAACAUUUGAUUUUUGAAGUGAUGGGAAAAUCUGGCACAUGAAAGAAGAAACUGAUUUCAAAGACAAAAUUCAUUUUUGGGACAAGAGAUCAAGAGCAUGUCAUUACUAUUUCAAAGAUUAUUUUUUUUAGUUUAUAUAUAUAUAUAUAUAUAUAUAUAUAUAUAUAUAUAUAUAUAUAUAUAUAUAUAUAUAUAUAUAUAUAUAUAUAUAUCUUAAAAAGUAUUUUUCAUCAAUACAAUAUCACAUUGUACAUUUUAAAGGAGUGAAGUCAUAUGCUUAAAAUUCCGUAAAUUUUGUAUGUUUUUAUUUUCCCGAAUUUGCCAAUAUUAUAAAUUUGGGGGUCUGCGGUGGGCCGUAGCUCAUAAAGCCCACAGGGCAAGGAUUAUGGAUUAACUUGACAGAAACCCGAUCCGACCCGACACAAAACUUGUUUUGUUUCCCUCUCUUGCUGCGAACGGGAACCCUUUCUCGUUUCGUUCCUCUUUGCAAGCUUCAGCUGUUGGUUCGGGUAUGGCUUCAACGGACGUCAGAGACAUUUUGACAGCUUUCAAUCCUUCACUCGACUUCUUCGCUAUUACCGCCGGAGACGGUCGCGUCAAGGUUCGUUUCGUUUUUUUUCUCUAUCUUUCUUCUAAGCCUUUCCUCAACUGAACUGUUACUUAUUCACAAUUUGUCUGCAUAGAUAUGGGACACACUGAGGGGUCAGGUCCACACCGAGUUCGCCGAUAUUACCUCAACUCAUUCAACUGCUACUACUUUACAUCAUAAAUCAUCCAUUAACGGCCAUCUUGCGCUAGAUUAUACUUGCAUCAAGUGGUUCUCCUUCGACAAAAAGGUCCGUCCCUCACUUCUUCUUUUUUUUGCUAUUAUCUAUGUAUGUAUUACUAUUUCUUUUAGAAUGAUACUAUAUAUUUACACCUCUAAUAUUGUGAAUUAUUGCAGAGGAAAAGGAAGCAUAUAUCCUCCUUGUUAGUGCUUGGAACUGGUGGCGGUGAUGUUUUAGCACUUGACAUCGCUUCUGGUCAAUUGACUUGGAGACUUACUGACUGUCAUCCUGGGUUAGUUAGAUAUAAACUUAGCUGCACUACCUUUUCUCUUUUUAAGGCUGGCAUUAACUGUGCGAAUUGUGAAGACGAAACUCUAAUUUUGAUUGGAGAACAAACACUAAAAAGCACUGCAUCUAAGUUUGGUUUAAUUUAUUACUGUAUUUUAAUGGAUAAUUUAGGACCUAAUGCUCUGUAGAUUUUAAAAUCUGUAACUCCAUGAUGAUUGGACAUGGUGACUCCAAUCAAUGUUACUUUGUGGAUUUUAUGGGUUUUAGUUCCUGAUUUCUCUUUCUUGUUUGUUCAACUCGACUGCAGAGGUGUGAGAGCCAUUGCAUCUUCAGCAAAUGUGUCAACCAUUUAUACGGCUGGUGCAGAUGGGAUGGUAUGUUUGAUAGAUUUCAUGACAGGAAACCUGUUGGAGAAAUUUAAAGCUUCUACAAAGCCAGUAUCCUGCAUGUCUGUUUCUCCAGGUAUUUAUCCUUCACAGCUUUUGUAGAAAUCUUGUUGUUUUGGUGGGAGGAGAUCAAGUCAAUCUGAAUUAGACAUUUGUCUAUGGUGCGUGGUAUAAUUUGAUUGAGUUUCCCUCAGAAUUCUUUAAGCUUCUUGUUCUUGUAUAUUGUUAUUAAUAAUAAAAUAAAAUUGCAAAUAGAAAGCUCAAAUUUCUAAUUGUAAGGUUCAAUGAUCCAAAUUUAGUUAAGGAGACCAUCUACUCUCAAUGUUAGUUCUUUUAUUAUCAUUAGAAUGAAAAACUGUUUAUCACUUGAGGUCCAUAUUUGUUGAAUGGGUGCUAAACUAUUAGCAUUUAGCAAUAUUGCAAUAACUCCUUAGCUGCAGUGAGUCAAAACUCAAAAGGGCUUCAGUGAAUCAUGAUUUAGAUGAAUAUCCAAUUUGUAGGUAUUAUUACUACUGUUUUGAUUACUGAUUUGGUAAUUGCUUCUCUACUUAAAUCAGAUGGGAAGACAUUAGCUACUGCAGCAGCACAAUUGAAGAUUUUUAACUGUUCUAAUCACAAAAAGAUUCAAAAGUUCUCUGGUCAUCCUGUGAGUCUCGUAGAUUUCCCUAUGUACAUGCAUAUACUCUAUCAGUGCCCUUUUAAUUUGUCUUAAAAACAGGCGUGCCUUUUUUCUUAAAAAAAAUUGUCUUUGCAAUGAUUUUGUUGUUUGUAUAACAAUUGUUUUUAGUUUAAUUAACAGGGAUCUGUUCGAUGCAUGGUUUUCACUGAAGAUGGGAAGCAUAUCCUCUCAUCUGCUGUUGGUGAAAGAUAUGUUGCUGUUUGGAGGAUAGAGGGUGCUAAAAAGCAGUCAGCUAGUUGUGUUCUUGCGAUGGAGCACCCUGCUGUCUUUCUUGAUAGCAGGUGCAUUGAUAGUGAGGAACAUGAUGAGGCUGGCAUAUGUGUUUUGGCAAUCUCAGAAAUUGGCAUUUGUUAUUUAUGGUUUGGUAAUAGUGUCGAAGAACUGCGUAAUGCAAAACCCACUAAAAUAUCCUUAUCUUUAGAAGAUGUGCCCUCCAGAAACUACAAGGGAGCUCUGCCUGCAAUAUAUGCUGCAAAAUUACAAGGCAUCCAGAAGCCAGCCUCUGGGCAAGUUUUUCUUGUUUAUGGGUUGCUUGUAAAACCAUCAUUUAGAAAAAUUCUUGUGCAUUCUGGUGCGGACAUAAAGUUGAAUGUCUCUCAUGAUGGUGUUCUUCUUCCAAUGAGUCAAUCUCUUGGCAAAUCUAAGAAGGGGACAAAUGCUCAAACAGGUAAGACUUUUUGUGCCUUUGAUUAACUCUUUCUCACCAGCAUUCUCUUAUUUUGACUAUUUUUUGUCAAUAAUAAACUAUUUCAAAAGUUUGAGCUAUUAGUUGGGAACCCUAAUAUGUGUUUAUAUAUCUUACAAUUAUUUUACAUGCUUGCUUUGAUGCACAUAAUUUUGCUAUCUGAUCCUAUAACUAAUUUUGAACUUAUCCCCCAAAAUAAGCUGAUCUUAUAUUUCUUAGUAAUUGUAUUCCUGAUGCUGUUGUAGGUUACUACUAACUGAUGUUCCUAUAUUUUGACAGUAACUGCACUAGACCGAGCUAAUGCUGAGGAUGCCUUGCUUCCAAUUCCUAAGGUUUUUGAUUCUCAUGAGAAAGAGAAAGCAUUUCAAAAAUCUCUGGACAAGGAUGUAAUUGAUGAUUUGCAUAGAAGUAGUAAAGAUGAUUCUGUUGAGAUGGAAGGUAUUAAUAUGAUUUUUUUCUUAAACAAAUGCAUGAUUGAUUAAUGCAUCAAUUGUACCUUAUUUUCUUGCUAAGCAAUAAAUUGAACACUUUCACUAUUUUCCUGAAAAUGGAAUUUAUGGCUUAAUAUAUGUGUUGACAAAUUUAUACCAAUUUGGAAAUUUCAUGUCUAAUAACAAGUCCACCCUGCAUGCAAAGAAUAUGUACAGCCAGAUUCUCAUGUGGUUGAUUCACUUCUAGGUAUUUGUGCUUGUGUUUACGUAUCUGAGUAACAUCCAUUAUUGUUGUUUGUUAUAAAACAGUGGUACAUUUGUAUAGUGCUUUUCUUUGGAACAAUAAUGGCAUGACUCAAUAGAGACAGGCAUCCCAACUAGGUUGUCACCCCUGUCACUAGCAGUCAUCUGCAGAACAUCAUAAAAACAUGAAAGAAAGAGAACAAGAAAAGCGGGAGGGGGUGGGGGGGCAUAAACCAAACCCAUGAAAACAAGGAUCAAUCAUCUAAACCUAUAGUUAGGAAUACCAAACCUAUUCUGGUUAAAGUACUCACUACUGAAACGAAAAAUUAAAUCCCAGAAAAAAUAGUCCUGUAUGGUAAGACCAUGAGAGGCUAGCUUGUCUGCAUAAAACUCCUUAUUUUGAAGCCAUUAUUUUAAGAUCAACCACAGUCUUGACCUUUCAUUAAAAAUAUUGAGUAAUUGUGAUUGCUUAUGAAUUGUAACUUUUUCACCAGCAGUCAAUGGGGUAGCAUUCUUGUCAUUGGCUGAUUGGCAUUUCCACCAUCAAAUGAGAGACAUUUUUAAUAUAAUUUGCCUUUGUCUUCUGUUCAUUGCUGCUACUAAGUAUAAACUAGAAAAGAAGAUGCAUGGUUCUUUUGUGCUUUGCUUAAUCUAUUGAUUUUACCAAUCUAUGCAGAUGAUAUGGCACAAAGUGAGAUUGAUGUAAUUUGCAUGGAGGACCGGAUGAGAUCACUAGGGAUGAUUUCCAGUGAAAGUGUGUAUGCAUCAAACAUUGAACUUUGCUGUAAGUUGUUGAAGGGUAUUGAUCUGGAAGCUACUGUUCCAAUGAAAAAGGUUAAUUUAUGAGUCAAUGUGACUGUCUUUUGCUAUUACUUUUGGUUCCAUAUGUUCUUUUAUCUAUUUAUUUUUUUAUUGUCAUUGCAUUAUAUUAAUUGUCCAUAUUUUUUAAAAGUUGAAUGGAAUUGUUUAUGUGCCUGAAUUUAAGAUCCAUUUAUCAGAUAAGAGCAGCUGUUUUGUCUAUGAAGUCAACCAAAGCAGGGAAGCUACUGGAAGUGUUACUGGCUGCAUGGGAAUCAAGGUUUGGUUUCUUUUUUGGGGCUUUCUUCUGAAAGGUCUCUUGCCUAUGCUGGGAUGUUCUAAAUUUUCUCUUGUUUGUUGAUUGUUUGAUUGCAAUAGUAAAAUGACCAAAUGUUAUUCUAGGAGUAAUGUUUAGUAACUUAGUUAUGGGUAGCAUUGGAUGUCUAGUUCCUUCUCCAAGUUGAAAUGGAAAGCCAACGUGUUAGGAACCAAGAAUAGGAAUAGGAAGGGAUGGAAAAUAGGAGAGAGAUCUCUCCUCCAGGCUCCAACAACUGUUUCCCCCUCAUGAAGGAUUUCUUCUUUUACAGGGAGCAAAAGCUCAAUUCUCAAAUGAUUCAAGACUGAAUGCCUCUUGCCUGACACCCUCCUAUUUAUUUACCUCCUAGACCCCUCUAACUAACUAACUAUAUAAACAAGAUAGAAUUGGAAUCAAAUUGAACCAAAUAGUAGUAUGGUAAAAUUUAUAUUAAUUCUUGAACUUAAAUGACAUCUUAUGAUAAAUACUUCACCAGCUCAAGUAAUUUAGAAGAAUGGGAAUCAGUGUUGGCUUGUAAUCAUGUUAAGGAAGGUCCUGUUUGGUUUCAGAAAACAUCUUAUUUUCGUAAAUACUUGGAAAAAUGCCACCUUGUUUUCACAUUUUUCCUGUUUUAAAAAAUUUGUAGAGACAGUGGAAACAAGCAAUUGUGAUAUCUUUCAUUAUGUGUUUUCUUUUCCGUAAUGCCAAAGCAUAUGCACUCAAUUCUCUUGACAUUUUCUAAAUCUUUAUUCAACAGAUCAUCUAGUGGAAAGUAUAUUCUUCCAUGGAUAUACAGCAUAUUAGUGAAUCAUGAUCUCAGUGGCAUUCCUCAGCAAUAUGUGACACGUACACUCAAUUCCUUAGACAAGGUAUAAUGGAUUAAAUUUUGUUUUCUCAUUUAUGUGCUUGGUAUCUGCAAUCUCAACUUUAAAUUCAUCAUGCUUUAUUUACUAAAUGGAAAUUUCAAAUCUAAAUAUAAUUCCCCUAAUUUAAUUCUGCAGCUUCUGCUAUUAUUCCUUCUUGUAUAAUGAAUGCUUCAUUGAUGUCCUAAUAUGACAUGUGGCACUUAUGUUGAAUUUCAUCAUAUGGUUAACUUCGCUGAUGUUAACUAAUGGAUAGAAAGACUUGAAAGAUAAUGAAAUGGCCAAAAGAUCAGUUAAUUUAACUUUAAAAUUAUAUAAAUAUUAUGCAUAGAAAUAUCUGACAUGGCUUAUGCCAUUUAUGUUGUAAUUUGUUCUCUUUCUGAUACACUUCUAUUUGCUUUUUUUAUCAGCUUCUGGCCUACCCACAAUAUUUGGCCAACUGAUCAGUAACUUGAUAUGGUUGGGAUAGUUCACAAAGUCAAAAUGAUGAAAUGAAAUGAAACGAAACUACACUGCCUGACUAAUUGCUUAAAGACUUAAAGUGCAUUGAAGUUGCAAUUACAAUUUUGCAUGUCAUUCUAAAUUUCCUGUUUUAAAACUGAAACCUGAACAUGCCAUUAUAUUCUGAUUUUGUAAAACAAUAUUCCUCUAGCUUCUUCUGGGGUGGGAAUAAAAACAUGACUUGAAAAUGUUAUCUGAUUAUUUCUCUUAUAAAGUUGUGAUAAAACAUGCAAUAGGAAUAACGACAGGUUAUGGAUUGGGAACAAUGGGAUGUCUUUGUAUUGAAUGGCUAUUUAUUAGUAUUCUUUUUGAAUACUAAGGUUACUCUGAUUUGUUUCUUGUCAAAUUUGCUUCUUUUGAUCAUUCUGAUUUCCUGGUGAUUUCUGGUUCUGUUUAUGUGAUAUAGCUUUACUUUUUGAGAUUUUGAAACGUUGUCUGCCACUUUUCAGAUUACCAAUUUUAGAGGGGCAACUCAUCAGCCUUUGUUACAAUUAUCAGGUCGUCUGCAACUGCUGACAUCACAGGUACGGUCACAUUUUCUGAAAUUAGUUUGGCCGUCUGUUGAAUGUUAUUGGUUUUCAGGGGCCUUAUUAAAGUUUACUUUCAGAUUGACAAGGCUUCUCAGACUAUAAGCCAUUCUGUGCAUGAACUCCAAAUGCAAGAAAGUGAAGAUGAAGAUGAAGUUGAAGUUGAAGAUGAAUAUUAUCACGAGGAAGAUGAUUCUUCUGAAAUAAGUACUGAUGAUGAAAGCUAGUUUGAUUUUUUCUAGAGGUAAUUACAUACAUAAGAGUUUUUAUUAUGACUUAUGCAUUUGUUCAUACCAAAAUUGCUAAAGUGGAUAAAUAGUGUGUUUAUAUUGGUGGCGAGAAACUCAAUCAUGGUGGCAUCAUGAAAAACUGGAAGCAACUUUGUGUUGCUUUGCCUUUAACGUGAAAAAUCUGAAUUGAUUUUGGCAAAAGUGAAGCCAAACCAAACAUGCUAAAAUGUGGUUAAAUAAAGAUGAUUUUAACUGAGUCUGGAGAUCCUGAAACACCCAUUCUGCAUUUGUUUGGGAAUUUAUUAUCCUCUUUCGAGAUUGCUUAAAUUAUUGAUAAUGAUGUAUUGUUUUUCUUUUGCCACUUAUUGCCAAUAAACCUUUUCCACAUCAUUAAUUCUUAAAACUCAAUGAGGAUCUCAGUCAGAUUCUAGACUUGGGCAUAGCUGAUAUUGCGCAAAAACUACUUGAUUUAUGCAAAUUUUUAUUAACCUAAAGAAUUUCUUCUCUGCUUCUUAGCCUAUCAUAAUAAAAAGACUAUUUUGCAAUUAGUAGCCACUAUCUAAAUUGUUUCUUUGGAGAACUAAUCUCUAUAAAGUGCCAAUCUGUUAACAUAUUUGGUUUUCCGUUUGCCUAUCUUAUUUUUUUUGUUUUACCCUAAAAAUUCUGGUAUUGUCUCGUGAUGUUAAUAAUUCUAGCUAUCAUAUAAGUCCAUAUAUGCCUUAUUAAUUGGAGUUUUACUAUUAACUGUUUACAGAUUGGGUUCCAAGUUGUCUCUUUUGCGGCUGACGAAGAUGUAGAGGAAUGGAAGCUGCUGUAUUUCAUCCAGCCCCCCUUGUUCACAAUUUUGUUGCUAUAUAGAUAGAUACAUCCUCAGAGAGAAAUUUUGGUAUCAUCCAGAUUUGUUAAAAAAUGACGCGGCCCCUAAUUUAUGUAAUUUGAGAUUUUUAUUGUUAAGUAAAAAUACGUAAAUAUAGCUCGGGCAUAUUUACAUGUUUGAAUACAUGCUCAAAAUACUACGAUGAAGAUUUAGUAUCCUCCAGAUCUACAACAGCUUUGAUUUCGUGAUAAAAGUUUUGCAUACCCCAAAUUGGCCUACACGUAGCAAGUUAACUGCAAGAUAUCUUUUUGGCUAUAGUUACAAAUAUCUCUUCCCGAACAUGUUUUUAUUACCCUUUAUUUAUUAUCGCGCUUUUUGGGUCUCACGAAUGGAAUCCAGAAUAAAAUUUUCCAGCUCCCAGAAGUUAGGAAUAUUCUCUCCAUUCUUGGAUCACAUGCAAACUAAAGUAUUCUCAUUUUCAAUCUUCAAAUUAUAGUUUUUCGAAUCGUCUUCGACAACUCACUUAUCAAGACAUAUGAAAGCUCAUGAAACCCUAACUACUACUAGACAAUGCAACAUGCAUUGGGAUUAUCAUCGCUGAACAUGGAUGUGAUGUUUACAUUGUCGUUCUGGUAAUCUCCACUGUAGUGUUCUAUACAAUUGUAAUGUGUUUGUCUGGAUGGUGAUCUGACGUAUUCAUAUUCAGUGACGAUUGACGAAGGCACGUGUGUGUUAUAGCUGUGUGUCACAUACAUGGGUCGGGAUGACUCUUGUAGAAAUACAGGGCCAUUAUGGUAUCUGUGCCAGUGUUCAACAUGGUUGCGGCCAGAACUGAAUCUGUUAACGUUGUUAGGCAGAUGAUAGUAUUGCUUCACAUGAACCUGUUCUAAUUCUUCAAUUCCUGUGUUGUUCUGCCACUGCCGGCUUGUCUUGUGCUGUGUAGGUAUGUGCGAUGGUGGUGUUGCUUCAGGUGGUGGCCGUUGAGGCGGUGGUUUUGAUGGUGGGCUUGCUUGAGGUGGUGGAACUCGUGCUGGUGGUGGUUGUGUUGCAUCAGGGACUGGUGCAUUUUCUUUUGGCUCUGGUUCAGUUGGUUUAGAUGGAGACGUUAGUUCAAUACUAGAGCAAAUGGUGGCAUUUUUUUUUGUCUUCUUAAUUGCUUUGACAACUUGUUCUGGAUCUGCCCACCCAAUAAUUGUGAGCUUUUGUUGAAGUAGGUCAACACGAAGAUCAUGUAUACCUGCAAAAUGAUAAAGUUAAUCAAAUAAUUUGGAAACGUUGCUGCAUUAUUUGCAAGGGAAAUAAUUUAAAUAGAUACCAUGAAUUCCAUUUAGUGUUUUUUUUAUCUUCUGCACGCACCCUUUGCAGUCCACUCGGACCUGUAUUUGCGUGACACGAGGUGCCUGCAUUUGAUGGAUUAGCCACUCUUAAAGAAGAGAUAAUGCUUGCUACAUGUUUAAAUUUAAAUUGAUAUAAAAAACCAUAAUUUCAUUGAUCAACAUAUAUGCUUUGGAUAUUACCUGUGAAUCCCGAGCCAUGGAGGCAUGGAGCUGUAAAGUUAUAGAAAACCAAGAGAUAUGCUUUUGUUUUAAGGAAGUGGAUUAUGGAUGGAGAACCUGUGAAUGGAAUCCAUCUGUUCAUGCCUUACAAGGGCAAGGAAUAUGUUAAAAGCAAGACAUGCGGGAAAUGCAAGGAAUCAUUUUUUUUUUUUUGACGGCCAAGGGGAGACAGAAAGAGAAAAAUGGUCUGCGGAAGAGGGGUGAUGAUUCAGGAAAGAAUUCAGAGGUUCUUCUCUAUGGACAUUUGUAAAUUGUAAUGUCGAAUCUCGUUGUUACCUAAGAUAUAUGAGGCUGGGGGCAUAUCUAAUUCCAACACUGCCUAAAAGCUUAAACGGUAGGGUCGGUGAAGGUUGACAAACCUUUGGCAAUAAUGCUUUCGUCACAAAGAAGCCAAUAAUUAUAUUGGUUUGUCACUUAACCUUAGUUGGAAGGAACAAACCUUAAACUUGGCAUCUCUCGUAAGGGUAGGCGAACACAAAUACGUGCUUUGGUGCUCAUUGGUUUUUGCUAAUCCGUUCAUAUUUUAGAAUUUGGGUGCAAAAAGACUUAAUAUCACAGGACAUUUGGUGAGUUCCUAUAUUAAGGUUUUUGCAAGGAAGAAAACUUGCACAAUGAUGAGUCAAUAAAAGCUUUACCCCGGAGUAUGUCAACUGCAGUUUGUGCUAACUGCUCUCUCCGAAUAUUAUUGUUGGACAACUCCGUACUAAUAUUUUAUCAUCCUUCUUGAAAGUCUUUUUGCAUAAUUUAUACAAAUUCAGUAUAAAGCAGUAUACGUAAAGUUUCUAGUCCUUUCCAUAAGUCCUCUUUCAUCAAGUGGUGGUUUCUUUCACAGAUGGGAAGGAAUAAUUACCAUUCAUACACUCAGUAACAGUAAGUCAGCAACUCAAUCCUUACGUUUACUACUUUACCCUAGUAAAAAGUAAAUAAGAAUUCAAUAUGAAACAAUAGUUUACAGGGUGGGUCAAGUGACUUUCACCCUCCUUUUGGUAGAAAUGUCAUGCCCGUCUUUAAAGAGCAAGAAGUGAAUGUCACUUGAAUAACCAUAUUUUUUGUUUGAUUGCGGUUGAAACUUGAAAAGUAUAGAAAGUGAGAAACCCAAAAUGACAAAAAGCUGAAGAAAAUUUAAAAUACUAAAAUUUAUCUUUUGGUGCCUCUAAACCCUCAUUCCAGCUGUGAAGCAGAAGAAAAUUAUCUUAAUCAUGACCUUACCUCAUUUAUAAAUGGAAACUCUUGGAACCUACCUCAUGUACGUCCAACAUGUUAAUAUCAUUAGAGUAUUAUUGGCUCGUAUUAUUGUGACUCAAAGUCUUGGCCUGCGUUUGUUUUUCUGUUUACAACCAUCCAAACACACGUUUACUCAAUAGAAAUGAAUUGUUGCUUCUUUGUUUAAGUACAUUGGAAUCCAUGUAAAGGUAAAACAAAACACUCUUCAACUCUUUUUUACUACCAAAGUACAAAUAUUUUUGGCAAACCACUAGCCAUUUUUGGCUGUUCAUACAAUAAGGACUUAUUAAGGAAUUCAAGUCUUUGCAACCAUUCUAAACAACCCUAUAUUUGGUUGCACACCGUUAUUAAAAAAUUGAAUAUGUUUUUAUAUCGUAUGAUACAUGACACAAUAAAUAAGCAAGUGAUUAAGCAUACACUUGUGGGUUCUCGAGCAGGUAUGACUCCACAACUCUGUAAACUGCAAUACCGCUUUCCCUUCCUUCCUUUACCUCUUCCUCUUUAACAUCAAUCUCUCCAAUGGUAUUGUAAUUGCUUGUCAUUUUGCAUAGGCAACCUCCAUCACUAGUAGCCUCAAACUUCACCUCAUAACCUAUAGAAUCAAGCUUGUCGCCCAAUGGAUCCCCUUCAAUCAUAGUGUAUUUGCAAACCAAGUUGUCCUUGUCAAGCACAUCAAUCCUGUGUUUCAGAUAUUUGAAGGGGCUAGCUGCAUAAAAUAAAUACACAACAAGUUAAUUCAAGAAAUAUAGAGAAGUGAUCCUGUUUCAGCUGAACUAGUUCAUGUUAAUUUGAUUGCUAACCUUCAUUGAAGUUAACUUGUUCAAUGCUUCCAGCUUCACCAUCACCUUGGAUCACAUUCACAUCUUUUACAAACUGAGGUAAGAGCUUUGGAAGCAAAUUUCUGGAGUCUACAAUCAAGGCCUUGAACAUGCGUGAUGGGGCAACAGAGGAGGAGUAUUCCUGUGUAAAGGUUGUGACUCCCAUAGUGAAUUUUUGUAGAUUGCAGAAAUCUCAGGGAAUCAAAGUAGUGAAUGGUAGAUAUGAUCCUAGAUAAAGAGGGAAGGACUAGUGUUUUAUAGGUCCAGCCAGCAGCCACACUAUAUGAAGUGAGUUUCGUGGAAAUGAGGCCUUUGAUAGAAUUGGAUAAGUUGGUAGUUAAGAAUGAUCAAUGGGAAUUUUCUUAUUUGAAGACCUACAAUCUUGGUGGCUGCAGCAUGUUUUUAAUUGUUUCAUAAAUAAGCUUAUUAUUCAAACUUAUGGCCCCACACAUGGAUUGGAUUCAUACAAUUCAGGAUACCUACCCGGGUAUUAUGCUGAGAACAGCAGGUGUUAAUGUGUGUGUUAUUCACCAAAAGUAUGUAGAAGUAUUUUUACCUUAACCAAUGAGGAAACGAGCAGUGGCUAGAGAGAAGAGCAAAGAAAAAUGAAACAAGCAAACAAACCACCAUUUUUGUUACUUUAAUUUAAUGAAGGUAAGACUUAAGAGCCAGCACAAGGCUGGGGUCCGCAAUCAAAACUCAACCAGGCAAUUAUUUAACCAUACGUCAAUAUAAGAAAGAGGUUUUCAUACUUAUUAGUUAUCACAUAACGGUAUCAAUUAUGACACGGCAAAUGGUGUCACAUAAGAAGACCCCCAUUUUUGUUUUAUUUUUUGGAAUGGAUACUAUUACGCUUAUUAAUGAAAUAAAAAAGAAAUAUAUUUCUACAAAAAAAAAUUAACAACUUAAAUAUAAUUUUAAAUAAUUAUAAAGUUAAAUAAUUUUAUCAUAUGAUAAUAUAAAAUAUUAAUUUUUACACUGUGAGUAUAUUUUUUUGGUAUGCAUUAUAACUUUGAACGCGUAUGAUGGGGCAGCAAAGGAGUAUUCUUGUGUAAAGGUUGUGACUCCAACAGUAAAUUCUGUAGACUGCAAAAUUUACAUGGAAUUAAAGUUGUGAAUAUAUAUCCCGAGGAACAGACUAUGGUGUUUAUAGGUCCAGCAAUCACUAUAUAUAUAAUGAACUAGUAAUUAAGUUUCUUAGAAAAUGAGCCCUUUAAUGGGAUAAAUUUGGAAGUUAAGACCUAAAAUGGACAUUUACUUGGUAGUAGUAGUUAACAAUGGUCUCGGAAAUUUCUUAUUUGAAGGCAUUCAAAGGGAAUUUUCAAUGUAAGACCUAAGACCUAAGAUGAUGCAUUUUUUUACUUAAGAAAUAAUUACAUCUUUCAUUCAACUAUUUUUUAAAAUUAUUUUCAUAAGAUUUUUUUAAAAUUAAUUUAUUCUCUCGAAAUUAUUAACCUUCCAAACAUGGACCAAGGCUGUUAUUCAAACUUAUGGCCGUCACAUCGACUAUUGGCAAAAUCAGGUCAUUUGCCAACAUUAUAGACCUGGAUAAAUUGGAUUCAUACAAUGCAAACUCAGAAAGAAAAAGAAAGUCAAAAUAUGGUUCCUUACUUUCCUUGGUAUGCUGAGAACAUCGGGUAUUAUUAAUUUAUUAUCCACAAGUUGUAGUAUUUUUUAGUCGUCAUUUACCUUGAAGCUGCCAUCAGGGAAAUAUGCAGUGGCUAAAGAAGAAGCAAAGAAAAUGAAGCAAGCAAUUAACUAACUCUUAAUUUCUUCCUCUUUUUUUUCCUUUGUAUAUAUAAAUGUAAUAGUUACAAUAAAACUAUAAUAAGAUAUGAUCAUGUUUAAAGAGAAAAUAAGACAAUUGUUAUUAAUUAUAAUUAGUAAACCCUAUAACUAAUUAUAACAGAUUGUUAUUUGAUAAAAAUAAUUUUCUUUUCUUCUUUAUAAAAAUAACCACAUCAUGUUACUCACUAUAAGAAAAUGAUUAAAAUUUGUUGGAAUUCAAGUAUAAAAUGUCACAUUGAAUAAAAUUAGACAAGUUGUGUAACAUAAAAGUAAGAAAAACUUACAAACUUAUAAUUUUACUUGGUUUAUUGGUGAAGAUCUUCAUGUUGUUUUACCCCUUUGUUGGAUAUUCAACGCAUAUGCAAGAGAUUGUGGGUGAAAUUUUUAUAUUAUAAAUAUUUGGAUGGUAUACAUAUCCUCAAUGUUCAACCAAUGGUGCUCGUACAUAUGGAAAUCAAUUCUCAAAGUUAAGGCUCCUAUAAAGUCCAGUUUCAAAAUCAGAAUUGGGAAAGGUGACGUGUCAGUAUGUAUAAUAAGUGGCUAGGAGAACAUAACUUCUGUAAUUUGAUUCCCUAUGUUCACAUAGAAGAUAGUUUGAUACAGCUCAAGGACAUCCAAAUGGAAAUGAAGAACUCCUUUAUUGAUGGUUUUUUGCUGAAGUGGUACUUACUCGGCUAAAAAACGUACAUACCAGUGGCUACAGAAUAAGACUUAUUUGUGAAGUGUUGUGGUUUGAUCAGAAACAUAAUUUUUUUUCUCUCACUGCUCACGUGAUUAGCUUCAAGUAAAUGUUCGUGGCACUAAUGGAUCUCUCUUUGUGGUGGCAUGCAGGAUUAUUUGGAAAUUAAGGAACGCAGAUGUUUUUAAUAUUUUAGUUCAUAUUUUGCAUGAAUUUGGAAUGUGUGAACAAAUUGAUUGGCAAAGCAAGGAGCUUAGACAUUGUUGGGGGCUAUAAUUUUCCCAUUUUUGAGAUAAUGUAAUGAAACAUAUGAUGCAGUACUUUCUUGCGAUUUUAUUUUUGUUACCAUCAUCAUCAUGGUUACCUCAAAAGCGAUUAAUUUGUGUUUGGUUAAGCAGCACCAAAGCACUCCUUAGUUUGGAGAAUUUAGUGCUGUUAUGCAUUCGUAAAUCAAUGAACAUGUUCUUUUUUGAAUAUUUCUAGCAACGAAUUAGAAUCUUUCUGUGAUGUAUUGAAGCGAGUUUCUUCUUUUAAUUUAAGUUGCACAUAAUUGUAUUAAUUUAUACUCAUAUUAUUAUUAUAAACAUGAGUAUACAAUAUAUUGAAUUAGCACGUGAUUUUUGGGCAACAGACUAUAUUUUUGAGAGAGUUGCCUUUUAGAAAUGAGAGUCGAGUAAGUACUACUUGUUGGAUCAUUUUCUAAUUUUAUUUGGGCUUUGCCCCUUUUGUUUCAAAACCAAAAAUGAGUAUACAAUACAAUUGGACUUUGGGCUUUCAAAAGUAUUUAAAUCAUAAGUGGGCUUUUGGGCUCACAACAUAUUAACACAUUAUAUUAACAAUUUUUAUUGGAUAAUAAUAUUAUUAUUAUUAAUUUAUUAAUAAUAAAAAUAUAUAUAAUAAAUGAAAAUUUAUUCAUUUAGUAGUAAAUAUAUGUACAAAUUUUCCCACCAUUUAACUUAGAUAUGUAUAAUUUUCACUUAUAUGUCAAAGAAAUCUAUUAGUUUAGUAGUUAGUAAUUAAUAUUAGAAUCAAAAGCAGAGGGUUCAUAUAUAUAAAAUCAACUAAAAAUAAUCAGAUAUUAAAGUUUAUAGCUAAUUAAAAUUUGAUAUAAAAUAGGUAAGCAUUAUUUUACGAUAUACACUAAUUUAUAUUCAUUGACAUUGGCUAUUAUAGAUGAAUAUCAUUAAUAUAAUUAUUUUUAGUAAGUUAUUUGCAGAUAUUCUAUUUUUAGUGUUAAUUCGAGUUCGUAACAUGUUCUAUAUAUUGAUCUUAAAAUGAAAUAAUCCGUUUUUUUAAUUUAAUUUUUAAAUGAAAAUGUAUUAUAUUGGCUCACGUAUAAAAUUUGUCACUGUAUGCGUCAGAGAUGUUGCUCACAUAAUUCUAUCUUUAACGGUUAUAUACGAGCAUGAGUGCAUGACUAUUGACUCUGCUAAUAAUCACAUUUUCUCUUUUUUACUCCUUAGUGGAUUUUUUUUCUUGGUCGACCAUUAAAGAGUUGACACCAUCAAGUUUACAACAGUAGAACCCAACAAGAAUACAAGGGCUGAAUAGCAAAGUUGAAUUAAUGUACUUCAAUUUAAAAUGAUAAUUUUGCCAACGAAAAUAUAGAAACUUUGAUUAAAACAAUUAUAAGAACAAUGAAAAAAGUAAUAGUGAUCACAAUAAAAAAAAGAUGCUACAAAAAAGAACAAAAUGAAAAAUAUCAUGUCCAAUACUAACCUAAUGAACCUAGUUCUAAAUCAGUGAGACCAGCGUAAUAAAGUGUUCAUACGAAGGUUAAUUAGCUACUAGCUCCUUUACAUGCCAUUAGUUAUAACUGUCCAGUUGUUUAAAUUUUUAAUAAAGAAUCAAUUGUGCUCAAAUUAAUUUUAAAUUAUUAAAUGUGGUUGAGAUGUAUGCUUAAAAUAAUUUUAAUAAUACGUUUUACAUUAAAACAUACAUAAUGAUUUAUGAGAGAAAUUGGUGUUCAAUGUAAACCAAAUAGAACUCAAUUAAGUAAUUUUAAGUUUGGAAAAUGUUUUUUUUUUCUACAAAAAAAAUUACACUAAUGUAGAGCAAUAAUUACAUGUUUUUAAACCCAUAAAAAUACUAGUUUACAAUUUAAUGAAUCAAUCGUUUAGUUGAAUUGGGGUUGAGCUGAUAUUUAUAACUUUACAUAAUUUAUUAUAUAACAAACCAAUAUAAAAUAAUAGAACUUAAGUUAAAUAAGUAAAAUUUAAAUUUAAAAGGGUUAUAUUAAAUUUUUUAAGUUAAAAAAUUAAAUGUACCCAAAUUAUAACUAGGUUCAUUAGGUUAGUAUUAGACAUGAUAUUUUAUAUUUUGCCUUUUUUUAUAGCAUAUUUUUUAUUAUUAUUGUAUUCACUAUUAAUUUUGUUUCAGUGUUCUUACAAUUGAUUAAUCAAGGUUUCUAUAUUUUCCUUUAUAAAAUUCUUAUUUUAAAUUUAAGUACAAUGAUUCAAAUUUUGGGCUGCUGCUAAUUGAGAAGCCUCUUGUUAUUCUGCCAUUGUCUUCUAGGGUUAUAGAUUUGAUGGCGUCAACUCUUUAAUGGUUGACGAAGGAAAAAAAAUCCACUAGGGAAUAAGGAAAAAGAGAACGUGAUUAUUAGGACUUAGGAGAGUCAGUAGUCAUGCUAGUUUAGAACUGUUACAAACAGAAUUAUGUGACUAACAUCUUAGCUCAUUGACAAAUUUUACGGUGAGCCAAUAUCAUUAUUUUCCAUCGUAAUCGUGAUUCUGGUAAAGUUCUUACUAACUUGAUUGUUAUUGGAAUGUGUUUUGGAGGUACUCACUUAAUCUCUUCAACAUCUCAUACACACCAAAAUACCGGUCAAUUUAGAAGAUCUCAAACCUUGAAUCAUUAAAGCACGUCAAAGUCAAUGCUUAUUAGGAAAAUCCUAAAUAAAUUGUUCACCUCAAACACGUUAAAUAUUACUCCACUUUUCACUGGCUUAUUUCGAACGCUUCAAAAUAAAAAAAAGAACAUAGUUGCUAGCCCCUUCUCACUGGCUUAUUAUUCAACUUUGCAUUGAAUGUGAACCAUGAAAGUUUGUCUUUCGCAUCAGCAUGAGCAUUCACCAUCUAUUGACUUUGACUCACGAACUCUUCUAUUCAUUCUUUGACUUUAUCUAUAUCUUCUCAAUAUUUAGUAAAAUAUACUAAAUAAAAAUAAUUUAAUAUUAAGAUAUUUAGGAUUUAUUUAUAUUUGUAAAUUGAUCGGGGAUAUUUUAAAAUAAUUUCAAAUCCUUUAAUUAUUGUUAUUAAUAAUCGUCCUAAUUAGUAAAUAAAAAUUAUUGAUUUAUUUAUAUUUUCAGAUAUAAAAUACAUUUUCUUUAUUUAGCAUUUUUUAUAAAUAUUAAAAUACUAAUAAGUAAUUAUUAUAUAUAAUUAACGCCUUCUAAAUAAUUCUAAAUCUUCCGUGACAAUUUUUCUGUUUUCGUUAAUCCCAUAACUUAUAAUUAAAAUAUGUUAAGUAGAUCCCGGUUAUAAGUGUGACACACUAAAUUGAUUACUACAAAACAGAUUAAAGAAUAUAAAAUUGCGUCUAGAUAUUGAGUACUACACACGGGAGUAACAUUUUGAAUCUCGUGACUUGAGGCUUCAUCUAUUGUUUAUUUUCUUUUAAGUUAUUUUGUUUUCUCCACAUAUAUUCUUAUUGUUUGAAUCACUGAGAAAAUAUUAAAUGUCAACAAUUUUUUAUAGAGAUUCAAACUAUAUAUGAUGAUUCAAUUCAACACAUUGUAAUCUUCCUAUAAGCUAUUAGGUAUUAAUUAUGCAUUCAUAUUGAAGUUGAAGAGAGAAACAUUGAUCGAUCGAUAUUGAUAUAUAACAAAAGGAUAACGAAAAUAUACAAUAAUGAUGGGUACACAAACCAGUUUGUAAUAAUCUCAAACUUUUCUCAUGAAGCAAAGUCAAACAAUAAUUUUAUUGGAAAUUAAAGCAACACACGACAAGAAGGGAAAAAAAAAACACAAAAUGACCAUAAUUAAUAAAACUGAGACAUAAUUAUAAUUGGUGACUUAAUUAGUUGUAAUCAGGAUUAGCCUGAAUGAAAUCCUCAAUAGCCUUGGUGAAACCUGCAGAUCUCUCCUUGCCAGUCUUCACAUAUUCUUCGGCGAGUUGCUCAUCACCUUUGGUAUAGUAUUUGCUUGUGGACUUCACAAUGGAUCCUCCAUCUGGGGUUGCCACCAGUUUGUACUCAUAACAUAUCUUCUCCAAUGGCUCCGACAAUGCACUGCCUUCAAUCACACUAUAGUUGUACACAUAGUUUUCUGUGUCAAUUGCAUCUACGUGGUGCUUCACAUAACCUAAACCUGUUCACAUUUCACACGUACACACACAUAUAUAUAUAUAUACACACAUGGAAUGAGUUAUAUUAACGAGUGUAAAUACAAGCACAAUGAAACCACCAUGAAUGCUUCGGAAGAGAAAUCUAUUAAUUAAGAGUAACGUUAUAUCCUCCGACUAUAUAUAUCUUAGUAUAAAAAAGUAUUAAAUGAAAAAAAAUAAAGUAUAUUUAAUGUCUUCUAAAUAUAGAACACAUAUUUAAUAUUUAUUUACUAUACAAAGGAAGUAGAAAUAUCGUUGAAGGAUUUAAAAUUAUUGUAUCUCUUAAUUGUUCCAUAAAUGGUUAAAAUUAAUUACUAAUAUUUACCUUCAGCAAGAGUAAGCUUCUUAAUGGUUCCUGGCCCUCCAUCUCCUUCAAUGGUUUCUACGCUCUUAAUGAAAUUUGGCAAUGCUUUUGGGAAGACAUUGCUGGCAUCUAGGACAAUAGCUUUGUAUAAUUUUGCAGCAGAGACGGGGGAAACGUGUUCGCUUUCAGAAGUGAAAACACCCAUGAUUUUUUUUACCCAAGAUAAAAAAAUAAAAAUAAAACUAAAAGAAAGGAUGAGAUAGAAGAAAAUAUUUUGCUCUCUUAGGGUGUGAGUUUAUGGAUUUUGGUAUUGCCUUAAUUUAUAGGCGCUUCAGGUUACUGUGAAGUUGCCCCCACAACGCGAGAGUUCGAUUUAUUUUCUUACAAGUUAAUGCCCAAGUCAAAUCAAGGGAGGAAGCUUCAUCGUGGUGACAUGGAUCAUUAUUACAAACUAGAAGGAAUUCCAAGUCUUUCUCAUGCCCUUCCAUCUACUUUAUUUAUCAAAAAAGUUAAAUUUAAAAUAAAUUAUCAAAUUAACCAAUUGUUUUUUUUUUGUAAGGAAUUGAUCAAUUGGUAAUUUGUGGUUCAGUCUAUUUGAAAAAUAUUGAAAUAGUUUGCAGUGAAAGUAUUGAUGGUAGUAUAGGACUUCAUUACAUUCAUAUUGAAAGUGGAUCUUCUUUUCUUCUAUGUCUUUCAACCUCUCCAAUCCUAAAAAAAUAUUUCACGUGUUCUUAAUUAUAAGAUAUUUUUAAAAAAAUUGUCUGUUAAUUAUAAGAUAUUUUUAAAAAAAUAUUUCACGUGUUCUUAAUUAUAAGAUAUUUUUAAAAAAUCAAAUAAUUUAUUAUACUUAAAUAUAAAUAAAUCUAAUUAAUUUUGUUAUAUUUAAUGUUAUCAUUCUUAAAAUAUCUUUCAUGAUUUUAAGUUUCAAUAAAAGAUAUUUUAUAAAUAACUUUAUUUUUUAUUUGAAAUUAAUAAAAUUAAAUGAUAUAAACUAUUUCUUAGUAUGAAAUUAACUAUUUUUACUUAUAUAUACCUUGAGAGAGUAACAGGGUAAUACCAUGUACAAUUUCUGACUAGUGUAUUGUUUGCUGUACACGCACCUGUAUAUCUAUAUUUCAAACACAAGUAAUUACAAGUAUAACUGCUUAGUUAUGAUUAAAGAAACAUAAAUACCAACUAAACAGAUACGCAUAGAUGAAUAAGGUUCUCUAAUCGGAUCAGUGUAAUUGAACUAUUAAAGUGUCGAAUUUCACUUCAAAGAAAUCUAGAAACAAGUUGGAAUUAAAAGACCAAAGCUGCAAUUAAUAAUGUCAGAAGCACAUAAUUAUCAGCCCCAAAAUAAACGGAAUAUAUAUAAAACACUAUAACAAGUUUUGUUAUUCGGAGAAAAUCCUGAAAGUGAAAACCAAACCAACGUGUUUCUUGUUCGUUUUAGGAAUACUUCAAAAACUGUCGAAUUAUUUUUUGAACAUGAAUCCAUGGUGAUGGGUGGUGCUAUGCUCUUGGCGAUUAGUUGAAGUCAUAUGUGCCAUGAUUGGUUUCAGUUUGGACUUAUAACUUGCCAUAUUAGAUGGCCCAAUUCCCCAUUCAAUGCAUACACCCACUUCAACUUCAAACCUUCCCCAACAUUCUCAAAGACUUCAUAGCCGAAACAGACCUCAUUCAAGGCCUGCAUAGCCCAGAGAGACCUCAUAAGUUUACCCGAAAUAUUUCUUAUUCAAAUUUAAAAGUUUCAAUUUAUUUUCUUAAAAAGUAACUUAGAACUAAAUCAAAUCAUCUGAUUUUAUUUAUCUAAUUUGGCUUGUGAUUAUAUGUUUAUGAUGUUAUGAAUAUCUAAAUAAUUUGAAAUACUAAAAUGCUAGCGACAAAAACACCGUGUCUCUUAAUAUAAUUAAGGCUGAAAAAAUAUAAGAAAUCUUAUAUUAUAAAAAGAUGUGUGUAUGCGAGAGAGACUAAAGUAGGUGAUUGUUGUAAAAAUUAGCCAAUAACUGAAAGUUUUAGUUGAAAAUUAUUAACUUAAUUUAUUAAAUUAUAAGUGUUUACUAAAAGUAUAUAUUGAAGUCAUCUAUAAAUAUAUAAUAACAUAAAUAAAAUGUUUAUAUGAUAUUUUUAUAAAAAUCUUAGUUUUAUUUUACACCUGAAAAUAUAUUUUUUUUGGGUAGUUAAAAUUUUAGUUUUUAAUUAAUGUUAAAAAUUUGUAAUUUUUUUAAAUAUUAUAUAAUUACUUUUUUCAGUUUCAAUUAUUUAAUUAGGUUUUCAGUCCUCAAAUUAGGAUCUAUUUUUUAGUCCUCCAAAAUCUAAAUAAAAAUUUGUAAAUUUUAAUCUCUAAAUUAAAAAAGUAUUCUUUUUUAAUCUCUCCAUUAGCAUUUUAAUGGAUUUUUUAAAAUUAUCAGUAAUAAAAAAUAGAUUUAUAUCAUAAUUUAAAUUGUUCGUUGUAAAUUUUUAUAUUUACAAAUAUUUAAUUAUAUGUUUUUAUAAAUUAAGCGUAAUAUAAUUUAUACAAAAAUAAACAUUUUUCCUAAUUCCUAAAGCACUGAGUGAAAUACUAUUAGGAUUAAAAUAGAAAAGAAAAAGGCCCACAAGGCACGGCAUUGACUCUUAAAUGUGGAUAGAGAAUGGUGGUGGAUCAAAGUCUAUGCGGCACCGAAUCUCGUGACGGUUGUCCAUAAUUAUGGAGAAAAUAAAUCGAUUGUAUAUAGUUCACGAAUUUGACUAUUGACGAUAAACUUUGGUCUUCUGUAUAUUCAAAAGACAAAAAAUUUAUAUUCAAAAGACAAUAUUUUCAAUACUUGAUAAAUGACGCCGGCCGAACAGAACAAAAUAUUAGAAAACAAAGUUGAAAACAGAGAGAGCUUUCGUAUGACAAAAAACUAAACCAAUGGAUAAGCUAAGAUAUCAUCAGCAAAAAUAUUUCAAAUGCAACUGUUCGUGAAGGCCAUUAAUGGAAGUGGGUCUCAAUUCUCGAAUGUUCAAAGGAUCAAGUGCGUCUCACGUUCGUUCAUCUAAAAUUACUUUAAGAAAUUAACUAAUAUAAUAUUAUUUUAGGGAAAUAUCCACAUAUUUAGUUUUCACGAUAAUAAAUUGAUUUAAUGUUUAAAAUUAAAUUUUAAAUUCAAGUUACUUUUAAAUAUCUUUUUUAUUAAAUAAUUUUUUUUUAUCCCUUGGCCCUCUCAAUCAACUCAAUCUAUGUUAAGUAGUAAUCGAUCAUUGUCAUCACAUGCUUAGCUUAAAUCCUUAUCACAUAAGUUUUUGUACUAGGUCUUAUUUCUCGAGAUUACCACUGGAAAAAAAAUUAUACUGAAUUUUACUUAUUAUCUUAUUUUAAGAAUGAAAAUAUUCAAACAUUAAUUUUUUUUUCAUAACGUUGUGAACGCACGUCCGAAACUCUUUUUAAAGAUGUUUCUAUAUUUAAUGUUUGGUCGUUUCUUGAAUAAGGUUGUCUUUCAAUAAUUAAUCAAAACUGAUUUUAUUUAAAAUCAUUUUUACGGCAACAGUUCUCUUAAUCGAUAUUCACUUCUAGUUGUUCUCACUUCUCAAUUACUUAGCAGUUAACGGUUUACAAUUUUUCUUACCAACCAGGUCGUACAAAAGCCAAACCUAGUGUGUCGAGAUUCUAAAUUUAAGUAAGAAUAUUUGAAAGUGUAGCAAUUGGUGAAAAAUAUUUUUGUAAUAUCUAUGUACUGUAUUCGGAAAGUCGUUUGUUUCAUGAGAUUUUAUUUUCUAUUUUAAAAAAGAAAUAAUUUCUUUAGAUUGGUCAUAAACUCGUAACUAAAGCUGAUAUCGAAAGUCACUUAAUUUUUGCAUUAGUUUUGGAAUCCACAUAUAAAAUACUUACUUUAUAUAUCAAUUGAUUGAUUAUACGUCUCACUUAAAACCAUUCUAAAAAGUUGAAAACAAUUAAUAUUAAAACAAGUUUUUUUUUUAUAAAAGUACUAACACAUGCCUAAUUUGUUGUAAAAACUAUCCUAAGAGAUGUAAAUUAGCACUCUAAAUUAGAAGAACAUUGAGUGCUGUAAAAAAAAAAAAAAAACUAGCACAUCGAGUCUAUUUAGAAGGAUUUGAUUUCGUAAAAUGAGAGUCUUCACCAUAAACAAAUUCAAUCUUCACACAAAUAAAUGAUCAAUUGAAUUGAUAUUGAAUGCUAAAAUAGUCGUGUUUUUUCAUUAUAAAGAAAAUUAUUAAGUAUUUAUUUUAUUUAUAAAAAUUGAAUAUGAUAUCCAGAAACUUAUAGUAUUUACAUACUUUAUUCAAUUAAUUGAGCUAGACUCACUUUAUAAUUAUUAAGUAAUUAUGUGGAUUUGGUUCAAUUUAUUUUGAACAAUUGCUGCAAGUAAUUUAGUUAACUUAGCUUUCAUUUGCCACGAAAUGUAUUGGAUGGAGGAUUUCUUCAGCAGUUGACUUUUCUUAUUGAUGUUGAUGUAAUGGGCUUUAGCCCAAUCUCAAUAAUAAUAUACCAUCUAACUCAUUCUUAAAAUAAGAAAGACGUUCAAACGUACUAAUGCAUUUGCCUCAAAAACUGGGUUAAAUUCUAUAUAAAGUCACCAUAGUAAACAUAAAACAAGCAGAAGUAUAAAUGAUGCUUUCUUUUAUUAUUAUAACAUAUUGAUUUAUUGAUGAAGUGACAUACAAAGACAUCAACUGGCUCUCACAAUUCUGUGGAAAAAGGAAAUAAGAAAGGAAACACUCGUUACAUCAAUUGGAAGCCACACCACACACUCAAAGUGAUUGAAUAACACUCCACACAAGGCAAGAAAACUCUUGUAUAUAAUAUAAAACAAGGUCUUUGCAGAUCACUGAAUACUGAAGAUCGAAUUGGAUCAGUUGUAAUGAGGAUUGGCCAAAAGGUAGGCCUCAACGGCCUUGAAAAGAGCAUCAGACUUGACUUUGCCAAUUUUGAGGUCGUCUGGGUUGGGCUGAGCAUCUCCUUUGGUUUGGUAUUUGACAGUUAGCUUCCCAGCAGACCCUCCGUUGGCGCCAGCAGCCAAUUUGCAUUCGAAUGUGAUCUUCUCCACUGUGUCUGGCAACCCAACUCCACCAACUACGCUAUAGCUGUAUCCCAAGUUUGCCUCAUCAACUGAUUCUAUUUUGUGCAACACAAACUUGCUUUCUCCAUCUGUCCAUCCAUCCAAUGAUCAGCCUCAUUAUCAUAAUUUAUUUCAUUAACUAACUUAGUUAUACUAUAUGGUAGAAUAUAAAAUGAACAUAGAUAGAUAGAUAGAUAGAUAGUGAGUGAGUGAGUACCCUCAACGAAAGUGAUCUUCUUGAUGGUUCCAGGGCCACCGUUCCCCUCAAGGUUUUCAACACUCCUGAAGGCUUCGACAGCCUUUGGGAUGACGUUGUCGGCAUCUGUAACUAGAGCUUUGUAAAGGGUAGCAGGAGCCACAGGGGAGGUGGUUUCAUCCUCAAAUGUGAAAAUACCCAUUAUGAAUAAUAAAAUGGAUUCGAAGAAUAAUAUUACUAGUUUGUGAAGAUGUUUG
RNAcentral lists this long non-coding RNA (58573 nucleotides) under Glycine max (soybean). RNAcentral describes it as "long non-coding RNA (GMAX_LNC003807)". Lineage: Eukaryota; Viridiplantae; Streptophyta; Magnoliopsida; Fabales; Fabaceae. The record is from RNAcentral.